ACUACUUCCGCCUCCCCAUCGACAGCAACUGCGGCAGCUCGACGGGGUAAGAAAGAUUCAUCUACGCGAGGUCGGUUCCUCUGCUCUACCGAGGUAAAAACGGUCCAUCUUCCGUGUAUUAGCUCUUAUGUUUUUUUCCCGUUUUCCCUUUUUGUUCUUUUUCUCCUCGUUUGUGGAUGAUCGAAGUGUUUUCUGGUGGGUCCUUUUGAUUUUGGUUAGGGAGGGCGAUCUUGAUCAUUUAGGUUUUGGUUCUGUUCUUGGUUUUUGAUAUCUGAGAUCUAAUUCUUGAUGUUUUCUGUGUGGAUUUCUGGUAUGGAGUUCUUGAAAGUUGGGGUUUUUUGAUGUGGCGCAGCCAACAGCAACUAAGCCGCCUUCGCUUGGAAAGUCAACGACUUUUCUUACCAUAGGCGGGCUUUUUGAUAACUUUUCCUUGUUCAUCAAGAAUCCAAGAUCUCUCCCUUUUCUUUCCCUCAGUUUUUUCUGCUGUGUCCAUGUUCUUGCAGGACUUUCUUGAAAAGAAAACGGGUUUUUUUUUCUUUUUUGGUUUAUAUUGAGAAAUUGAUUGGUUUUGUUUUUUUUCUUUUAAAAUUAUGUACCGUGUUAUUAAUUCUCCAUCAUAGAUUCAUAGCUCAAUCGGUUUGCGUUCUAAAUCAUCAGGGAGAACAAUAAUUGUGUUUGAUUGAACAAGUAAAGAGCCUGGCUUAAUAUCCGGUUUGAUGGUGGUUUUCUUUCAUCUUCUUGAAGUGUUUGCUGGGCUUUGUUCCUUUUUAUUCGAGAGGGUUGUUUGCAUCUGGCCGGAGGUCAAAAGUUGAUGGGGAUUGGGGGGGGCAGACGGGCAGUUCAUACCUGCAUCUGGAAGUGAAAGUGUUAAUGCCUUUAAGAAUUAGUCUGGUUGAGUCUUGUCUGUUCAAUCACGGUCAAUUGGGUGACAAGAUCCAAACUUGGUCUAGCACAAUGCAAAAUAGUGUAGUGGAUUAUACGGUUCUUUAACAUGAUACAGGUAUGGUUUUGCAUUUGUUAUCAAACUAACAUGCAGUGGAUUGAGUGAUCAAACUAAGAGAUUAUUUUCUUCUUUUUGUGUCAUUGGUACAGCUAUGGUUUUGCAUUUGUUUAGUCCCAAUGUCAGUUUUCACAGAGUCAUGCUGUUGAUUCUGGAUGUAUGAUCCAUUUUUAUUAUAUGCUUCAUAUUUCAUUGUGCCCUUCCAGAGAAAAUAUGGAGACUGUUCAGUGUAUUUUGGAAGAUAUAUGAAGAACAUAUAAUAAUUUGAAUGACAAUAUAACUGAGGAUGUGUGUGUGUACACAUAGUGCUUAGCCCUUAUUCUGAAAAUAUCUAUUGUCACAUGAUGUCAUACACAACUAUUUGUGCAGUAGAUAUUUCUGUGAGUUAAUUACUUUUUAUAAUUAUAUCAAUUCUUCUUCCAUUUCUUCAGGAUGUUCAAUUAAAUCUUCAACUUUGUCUCCUCUAACUGGGAAUAUUUGCAUCACACACUGCCUGCAGUAGUUCAGGAAGUGUGUGUUGGCUCUACAGUGAAAUGGUGGCUGGAUGAGCCUACAUAUUUCCUGAUUGCUCCUUGAUGUAUCUUGACCUAGUGUGAUGUAGAGAUACUGAAUAUUGAUUAGAGUAUUCUCUUGCCUAGAAAAGUCAAUUCCCAUCUUGUUUGUGUAGAUUUUGCUGUGCGAUAACUUGCACCAUGGAACUUUGCUGAAUAUUUAAACAUGCUUGUUUUACUUCUAUUUCUUUCCAUUUCCCUUCCAAACAGCAUUGAAACAUGUCAUUUUGUUUUUCUUUUUAACAGGAUGAUAGCAGAGAAGCUAAUUGCAAUCACUUAGCUAUUUCCAACCAUGCAUCUACCUCUUUGGAUAAUCAUGUAGACAGUUCAUAAGCUGAAUAAUUUUUGUUUGUUUACUGCUGCAGGCCGGGCUGAGGCCCUUCUAAUUGCUGCAUAUGGAAAGGGCCUUAGAAGAAAGAAUAUAAGGCAGUCUGAGAAGUGCCCUGUUUUCCAAAGCAGCUUCUAUGACCAAGACGCUAACAACUUUGUUUUGGAAUUGGAAAUGAGGAGCACGGAGCACCCACAUUGAUAUUGAUUUGACUCGUGGGUAGCUUGUGCAUGUUCCAGUGCUUCUGACAUUGAGUGGCUCGGUGGCUUUUGCCUUACUCCUGUGAUCACAUUUUGUACUAACAUAUUUUUGCAACUAGAAAACCAUCAGAUUCCAAUUAGUAAAAUUGUGUUCCGUUAUUAUAUGAAUGAGCAUAUCUGCAGCUUUGUGGUAUGAGCCUGAUGCUGUUGUUACUGUCUGAACCGUCAGAACUUCUAUGCGUUUCAUUAUCUCAGCUUUACGUGUUUGAUUUUAAAGCUCCUGAGUUUGUCAAUGUUAAUCAACCCUUUUUUUAGCUUUAGCGAUCGCCAAGCAACCAUUUUUUCCUUAAUUAUUGAUAGUUUUAGACAACAGGUUAAACAAGUCGGGUCGGGUUGGGAAAACAGGUUAAACAGGUCGGGUCGGAUUGGAUAAACAGGUUAAAUAGAUCGGGUCAGGAUGGGUUGGGCUAAACAGGUCGGGUCGGGUUGGGCAAACAGGUUACUUUAUUAAACAUGUUAAACAGGUUGGGUCGGGUUACCUGUUUAUUAAACAUGUCAGGUUCAGGUUGUAAUUCCUGACCUGUUUAAUAAACAGAUCAAGUUCAGGUUUAUAAUUUUCUGACCCGAUCUACAUGUGAUCCGACCCGUUUAUGUCCGACCCGAUCCGAUUACCACCCCUACAUAAGACGAAUUGCAGCCGCUUAGAUAUGUAUUCUAAUUAACAAAAAAGGUGACUUUCUUUCUGUUCUAUCUCAACUACGGAUCUUAAUUUUUGAGGAAAAAAAGGCCCCUCACCACAACCCUUCUUCUAGAACACCCUCAUCUCGAUGUACAUCGAGAGCUCCGACCUGGUGUCCACUUACGACAUGUUCGAUGGAAGGUCCACCAGAGAUGCCCGUCGUUUCCAGAAACUCCCCGCCAAAUAAAAGAAGUGAGCUUUCUUAUUAGUCAACUACUGCAACUUAAGUUGCAAAAUGACUUGAGUUGCAAUGCAAUUUCACCUACAAGGCUCCAAACAGCCCCUUUUUGUUGACAAUGGCAAAAGUCUACCUUUAUUUCUCUAUUCAGCCAAGUGACUUCAAUCCUUACCUCCACAUAGUUCCUUCCAUGUCAAGCAAAAUCUGCCACUCAACAUUUGACUAUUGCAAAAUUGUAAAUUUUAAACAAUGUAGCUUCUACAUAGACUCUAUAUUCUAGACCCUGAAGAAGAUGAUUUUCCAAGGAUAAGAAGGAACAUCUAUAUUGUUUUUUUAGAGUUCACAAAAACGAUUCGGUACCCAUACGGGUACCAUGUUGGCGCAUUGUCAGUUUUAUCUCCUGUUUAUUCGGUUGGAAAAUCAUAUCGUUCCGCACCAAGAGAGAGAGAGCAUCGAUUUCAUAUAGCGACACCCUACACCCUCUAUACCAAGUACUGGUUUUGUAUCGGUACGAUAAAGUGUGCCUAGCAAGUGCGGUACACCUAGCAUGAUGCGAUACACUCUGAUAUGGUGUAACUUUGGUUUUUUCUUAGCCUUCAUCAGUCAAUGUUUCUCUUGGACGUAUUAUGUUGAUAAACCUUCUGUAAAAGGUAACUCAUCAACUUUUUACAAAGAUAUUGAGAUUUGCAAAGGACAAUCGCAUAUUCUAAAUAUGCAAUGUAGAGAGACCCUGAUCCACCUGGCCACUAGCCAAAAGUGUAAGAUCUAAUCCAGCAAAGAUCAAGGACACCAGCAAAUCAAAUUAUAACAAAUUACCCAGCUAACAGAACAGCAGUCCACGAGAAUCUUUAAAGCACAAAUCCAGUAACCAUUUCUAGAUCCAAUACAUACUUGAUGUAGAUAACUUUGUCUACAGUUUGUACAUAUCCAGCAUCGCAGAUAAGUACCAUAAACAGUUCUAAAUAGAAAAUGAAGUGUGAUUUGAGAAUGGGAUGAACAUCAUAGUUCAGCGAUUGUUGCUCUUUAAGCAAGCGUAUGCAGCAUGCUCAUACAAGUAAUAUUCUAAGUUGUUCCACCUAAUUUUAUGAUUUCGCACCCUUUUAUUAUUCUAGCAUUCUAAGUCCAGAACAUUUUAAAAUGUUAUGUAUACGAAGGAACAUACGCUUAAAUUUAGUUUCGCCACAAAGUCAGUGUAAAUGAGACUGCAGGAGAACCACUUGAUGCAUUUCUAAGAGCAUAUAAACAUGUACAAGUUUCUAGCUUUUUAAUUUCAGUGAAAUAUGCUCUGCACAUAGGUAAGCUUUACACACUAAACAUCCCAAUAUUGAAUACUUGCUAGAUCUAAGAAUAUGACAAAUGUUGCUACAUGCAUAUCAGUGAUAAAUAAGCAGCACACAUAUUCAUGACAGGGUUUAUUAUUUAUAUAUGCAAUAAAGGAAGAAUUUAGAUUUAUGACCCGUAGAAACAAGAAACUAAAAAAGUCUAAAAUCAAAUGUGCACAUAAAUUUCCUGAUACUAAAGAAUAUUCGUUGUCGAAUUUCAAGAAGAUGGGAGUAUAAAGACCAUUGAGCAUCAAGACAGACAUUCAUGCAAUAACAUAAUUAUGGUUGAUCAAAUCUCAAGAAACCUUGCAGUUCCUUGUGUAAAACGGUAACUAUUGCCAAACACAGGAUCAUAAUCCUAAGAAGCUACCAUUGGUUUUAAUGUGAAAUAUGUCGACUUUAAUCUGCAUCAAAAAUAACAUUAAUACCCUUUUUUACGUCUGACAAUAAUAUAAAAAUACAGUUUGUGCUCCUCCAGUACUCCCAUAGUUUCAGAAUUGAAGUGCCCCACUAGCAUCUUUUCCCUUUUUAACCCAAACUACUGUAGUGAAAUGAUCUUCCUCAAGAAAAAAUAUUCUAUAUCAGAAUUAAAUAGCAAAAUGUUUCAGAAUGCAUGUGCUAAAUCAUCAUUGCCUCCAGAAAUCGAGAUUAAAAAGUUCAAAUUUCACAGUCUUCCCUACAAUUGCUGUUUGUAACAAAUAUAUAGAUGACAGCAAUCAUCCGUAUAUUCUCUAUGUAAAAUGGACAAAACCCAUCUGAUUCAUCAAGUAAAAUUAUUACACUUUAACACAAGCUUCCAUGAUGGUGAUAUAACUAUCUGAAAACACCUACGAACAUUCCCUUAUUCUAAAAAAUUAGCAGAAGAAAAGUGAAAAGAUUAGAAUUUCAAGAAAAACUUAGUUCUCUGUUAGAAAAAAUAGUACGAGAAAACCUGUCUUUUCCUCUAUGCAAUGAAGCUAGAAUCAUUGGUAAAUCUUGCAUAUACAAAAGAAAGAAGUGUAUCUGGUGAAGUUUAGAUGAUGUUAGAAGACUAUACUGGUAAAAAUGACUUUAUGAAACUAAAUAUUAUCAAUCAAUUGAAAUGACGUGCUUUCAAUAUAGUACAAGAGAAAGGUAGGUAAGCAAAAAAGAAGAUAUUCAACUUACGCAUCACUAUCCCUGGAAAGAGAGAGAGCACUCAAAGACAAUCCAUAAGCUAUUUCAACUACACAUGUCAGAGUACAGUCCUUCGACUCCAGGGAUCUCAAAAGCUUCUUGAAGCAAUUUAAGAAGGGGGGAGGCGACCUCCAUUCGUACUCAUUUGAAAUGGUACCAUCACAAUAUCUCUCGUCUCGUUCUGUUUGCUCAAGGGUAAAAGAUCGCAAUUGUGAAAAGAGGGAAGAAAGAGCACUUCUACCCUGACUGCAGGAAGUUAAUUCCUUGAAAGUCACAAGACAAGCUAACAACUCCCUUCCAACUGGCAGAACCUGAUAAAAACAAUCUAUCUAUCAUGAUUGAGGAAAACUAAAUUAAAGGAAGAAAAAAGGUUCAAGAGUUUGCAGAAAAAAUGAGCAAAAGAAAAGAAGGGUACAGCCAGUACUCUAUGAGGGAUGAACAAUUGGCUGAAAUAUCAAAUAAUGGAGAUAUACAAAAGAUAGUCACUGCUUGCUGCCUAGCAGCCAAAUGUUUUUAGCAUCAUAACUAAGAAGAGACCAUCUCUCAUCAUUGUAAAGUAAAACGUUUACAUGAAUGAUAGCAAAACAAUGACGUCAAUUUAUUCUUAAAAACAAGAACAUUAAACUGUUCCCAUACAAAGAACGUGUUCUAAUUGAUCAUCCAAAUGAAUAUUUCGUCAUUUUUGUGCAGAACUGAUAGCAAAUAACAAUGUUGUAGGUGUAGAAAUAGGUCGUGCCAAGGAACACUAACCGUUUUAGUGCAUGAAUGGUAGUAAUGAUUAUUGGCAUAAUCCAUACAUAAACUAAUUGUCGGUAGUUAAACCUUUAAAUAGCCAAAAGAGUAACAAGAAUCCAUAGUAAAUAAAGUAAUAAUAAACAUUUCACUAUUAAAAAAUGUGUUAAUAAUUGAAUGGCAGUUUAAAGUUGGAAGCAAGUAUGCAUUUUGAUGAGAAAAUUGAUGAACCAUGAAAAGAAAAUGACAAGGACCUCCCCAAUUCGUUAUUAACUAAGAAAACAAAUUAACCUAUGAACAACAGCAGUUAUAGUGAACAAAUAUAUCUAAUUAUUAUGUCCCAUUUGAUUUAUCUACAUUUCCUGUACUUUUCAAUGCAUGCACUAUUAGUUUAUUAAAAGAUUUCAUAUUUUCUUUAUCUAUCAGGCAAUGGUAGGAACUAGGAAGAAACUUUUUUUUCUAUCAUAUAUGCUAAUUGGCCUAAUUAGGUUCAAGUAAAGAAAAAAAAGUAAUCAACUAAUGUUUCAAUAAAAAUAAAUAUUCUGUUAUCUCAUAUCAAGCCUAGUAGUACCGUUGGUAUUAAAUGGUGUAACCUGUUAAUCCAUACAUGUAUUAUGUCUCUUCUUGCUACCCUUUGCCUUUUGCAUUAAAUAUGUUAAACUUAGCUUGAUAUUUUAGUUUGGAUUUAACACUACUAACACAGUAGUAAAUCGCAUUAGCUUCUUGCAGAUCCUGCUCACUAUGAAAUUUCACAAAUAAACAUAAGAAUAAAGUAUAGAAUUUUUCCCUUUCAACGGUUAAGUUAGGUAUAGUCCACCAAUUUAAAGUCGCAAGACAAAUGUCUCAGCAAUGGGCCAAACCUCAUCAACAUUAGCCUAAAACAUAUUUAGUUUGGUCACAUUGACCAGCUCCAAUUUUCUACAACCAGAGUUCAUCCUGUUAUAUGAAUGAGCCUGGACUUAGAAUUAUCAUACUAUGCAAAUGAUCAAAAUACACAUCCACAUUAUGUUAAAUUGGCUAGCAUGCCUAGUGUACAGUUAACCUCAUCAACAGUGCUGCAAAAUCUUCGCAAACAUCAUAGAACACAAAAUGUAAGAAUGCUCAAACCGGACAGAUUAUGCAAGCAACUGUAGGAUACCAUUUGGCCAAGAUGGAUAGUAGUCUUUAUCAUCUACAUUUAUUAAAUGGGAUUCAAAAUUUGACCUUUUCAAGGGUUACAUUGCAUAUUAGACCCUCCCACCCACUCCUUGAUGGGAAAUUGUGGGAUUAUACUUGUCUUGAUAAGAUCAACAUAGCCUUAUUGUUUAAGAUAAGUCUAAGGUGAUUGUCAAAACUCCAUAGCAUUUAGUCAAGGAGAGGCUCCACUUCUCCAUUCUUCCUAGUUUGUGGUGGGCAAUUACUUUGAAGAAUAACUAAGAAAAAAGAUUGUUUCUUGAAGCACUUAAGCUUCAUUUGGCUAGGAAGCCAAAACUUCCCUCAAGUGACAUGUUGUGACAUUCUCUAUUGAGCUUACUAUCCAAAACAAGCAAAUAGUUGAGGGGCAACCUCUUGCUAAUAAAACCUUCCGAUGGAAACUAAAUUAAACAUCCUUUGUUGCAAGAAUACUUGGUCUUUAAUACUUAGGUCAAGCAGCAAAUUACUCAUAUGUUAAACAAUUCACUGAGUUCUGCGAUCCAUUAUACCCAGGCUAAAUUUGGCAGCCAAGUGGAGGCAGCUACGAAGGAGAAGCCAUUAUGUCCUUCGCUGCAUCUUGGAACAAUCUAUAUGCUAGCUGGAGAAGUGAAGAUUUGUCAUCAACAUUCAGUAGACACUAUCAAAGGCUACAGGCAGAAAGUACGCUUCUACCAUGGCCGUUAGAAGGACCAAAAUGGAGGGGAAAAUAAAAAUUCACCCUUUCCAAGGGAAGAUAAAUAUCUGCAUCAUACUUGUUCAUCACACAAGGGAAAAAGUUUGAAGUCUCGAACAUAGUACACUUCUACAAACCUGUCUUCUAAAUGAAGAUAAAGGCAUGCUUAGCCCAUGGAUCCACUUCGUUGUGAGUAAAUUUAGUUAUCUGCUUAGCUAACCAAGAAAACAUCAAAUGAUGACAAAAUUUCAACAAUUUUCCCACCCUAUAAUUUCAUAGUGGAAGGACAUCAGCAGCCAUUGACCCUAAAUCCUCAUCUAUAGAAUUAAAAAGUCUUAUACAGUAGAAGAAAUGGAGAAAAGGAAAAGAGGAAGGGGAAGAAGAUAGGAUGUCUCUUUCCUUAAAGUGUUGUAGAAAAAAUUGUGUCAUUAUUAGAUGACAAAUCACGUCUCCACUAAUAUCCAGUGGUUGACUAAAACAACAUUCUCACAAUACAUGACAAGGACUAGCAGCGAAGAGACAGCAACAACAACAUUGUCAUAUUGAUAGAAGAUGUGCCAAAUGGCAUAAAAUGGCUUGUGUUGGUAAUACAAAAAGUUUGAACACCACAAAACAUCUUGACUGUAUUAUUUAUGCUACCUUAGGUCAUUGCCUGAACUGUAAGUAUCGAAAGUCGAAGAAUGAGUAAUGAAGAAGGUCCAAGAAUAAGCAACACGAAGGGUUCAAAACAAGGUUUUCCGUCUCAGUACCGGACCCCGUACUGGUGCCACACUAACACAGUGUCGGUACGAUACGAUACGGACUUUUUUGGCGUCCCGAGUAUCGGUGUGCCACCUGUACCGGAUACCGGUACCGGGUUCGGUACCGUACGCGUACCUUAGUUCAAAAGGCAUCACCCAAAAAAAAAAGGAAAGAAACACCACAUUAUAUCCUAGACUUCUAACAUGAUCUUGACAUAAAGCAAAUAUUGACAUUUAAGGCACUGUGAAGGUAAAAGACAGAAGAUUUCUCUGUAGUUCACCAAGGCAAUAAGCCAUGAUGCUUACCAGGCAUCAUUCUUCUGCUUAAUCAUUUAUUCAAAAAGAAAAGGUGAGUGGCAGCUUUAAAUGGAUGAUGUAUAAAUGAAACAAAAAUCUUAUCAUUUAAAAAGAUUUAAAGGAAAUUUGCUUCUGAGGAAUAUUCAACAUCGUAAACAAGGCGCCAACCAAAAAUAAUGAGUGAUGUUUGCUUUGCAUAGUAAGAAAAAAAAUUGGCCCAGAAAAAGAAAAAUCAUACACAAUCCUCAUUAAAAUAUCCAAAGGUAAGAUUAAUUUGGAUCAUAUAUGAAUGCAACUAGCUCAAAUGACCCUCUCUUUGAUUUGAGAUAUUGAAGAAGUUUUUAAAGCAUACAUUUCCUAACAAACGACAUGAUACUCACAAAAAAAACACUGGAGUAGUAAGUUACCUGACAUAACUUAAGGACAUGCUGCACAAUCACGGAAUUUUCUUCAAUAGCUAUAUUUUCAUUUAAAUACCUGUAUUAUGAGAGUAAAAACAAUUUAUAUUCUCAAGAAAAUGCAAAAUUAGAAUGAAAUAUCAAGAAUCAGAACCCAGGAGUCAGUUUUGGAUUCACUCACUGAUCAGGUACUCUUGUUCGGUUUAUAGAUGACUGGGAGUUACAAAUCAGUGCCACGGACUUUAAUACAGGAAGGCACCAGCAAAGAAAUGUGACACUUUUAGAAGGAACUCUGCUUUCCAGAAUCAGCUUUCCAUCUGAAUUAAACACACUGCUACAUCUCUUUAGUACUUUUCCUAAAAUUCUCACAGCCCCCGUCUUAAAUAAUAAUACCUGGAUAAGACAGGAAGUUAAAACAAGCACAGAAAUGGAACAUUGACUAAUGUGAUACAGAUGAAAAUUCAGUAACCUUGGCAUGAGGAUGCUCCAAGUGUAACAUUCUUAAAAGGUUAAUUAGUAAAACAAGCGAAGGAAUCAUGAGAUCAACUAAGCUCUGUUCAUGACUUCGUUCCAAUAGCAAAUCAGUCGUAGUGUUACAUUCUGCACCUUCAUCAAGUAGGUAAUCGUUUACAAUUGACGAGAGGCAGCCACAGCUGCAUCUUCUGAAAUAAAUGCCAAAAUUCGAAAUGCUGUUGUCAAUUGAACUAUAGAGGUACUGCAGAGUGUGACUCCAUCAAAGUACUUAUCAGUGACAAACUUUCCAAGUAGAUUAUCCACAACUUGAGAAUCAGAAGUGUUGGUUGAAUCCCCAACAACAUUCUCAACGUCAAUUGUUGGUUGAGCAUCUCCACCAGAAGCUAAACGGCAGCACAUCUAAGAAGCCCUACAGCCCCAUUUCUGUGAUAAACAACACCAGCAUCUAUCCACUCCAACAACCUUGUAGGAGCAUCCUUUUUAUUGGACCCUGGAGAAGAAGAGUGUAAAGCCUUAUGAAGUUCCACAGCAUGUCCAAUCCAUGAUUUGAGAGAAGAUGCAGUUGAAUCUGUGACCAUGACUUCAAAAAUCUCUGCUGCUGAAUGGAAGAUGGCAAGACUCAGCGGAGGAGUUCCGCUGUUCAUAGCACUUGGUAACGAAUGAGUUGUUGCAAGCAAGCGAUCAAUAGCAGUCCCACUUUAAGAUGGAGCUCUAUGAUCAUCCCAACUUCCUGUGGAUGACAGAAGAAUCCCUUUGCAAAGGCCUGCCUAAGAGCCAUGCAUUCUUUCUUACUUGUAUCUUCAGGAUCUCGAAGAGAAAGAAUUAUGAGCUCAGUUGCUUCAGGUUGAACAAGUAAGAAAGAUAAGCCUGAACGAUAGAAAAGGAGAGAGAGAAGUAUGGAUUCAAUUGAUGUGGCAAUUUCCAUAAAUAUGUCUGCUGUGCUCCCACUUGCUGACCGUAGUACAGGCGAUGACAACAAAGCAGCUGACAAAGGAAAAAAGCCUCUUUAGAGAUAACAAAUAUGUGUCGAUGUCCCAUCUAGCAAAACUAUACUUGCAUGUUGUAAUAUAGUUGACAGUUGCUUUGUAAGACAACAGACCCUCUGAUUGGCCAGAAAUAGAUAAUCUUUGUGCAAAAGCCAACGGAGAAGAAUCUUCAAUUGGUCCAAACAUAUUAAUCAAUUUCAGAAUUUGCUUGAGCUUAGAAUUUGCGGCAGCAAGUGAUUCACUUCCAUCAGUACUAAUAUGGAAAUCAGAAGAAAGAUUAGCCAAUACACAUAGCACUGCAGCCUCAAAUUUCGAGACAGUCUCAUAGAAAUGCAAACGGUGUAGGAUAUAGGUUACACGAGAGGCAACAUCAUGCCGUUGCCAUCCCAGUAACAGCUUCAGUAAAUAACAAUAACCUUCACUUUUACCAACUGGAACAUUCUCAUCUCCACGUGGCCACCAUCCCAGAAAUCCAUCACAUCCAAUGCCAUGCCGAGUAGCAUGUUCCACAAUACCAAGCAAUAUUAAUGUGUAACAAAAUAAAUCAACAAUUUGCUCCAUUCCACCAUUAUCAACCAUGCUUCCAUCUUCCAUUAACUGAGUACCCCUUACAGAAUGAAUUUCAUAGAGUUCAACAAGCUCUAGCCUCAGAAAGAACAUUAAUAAAUUGCUGGGAAUCUUUUCUUUUAUCAGUGAACCCGUUCAGCAAUUGUUGGUCCCAAUAGACUGGGAAGCUGUUAUUGCUACCAGUGGCAUAUGAACAAACAGCUGAUACAACAGAACUUGCUAGAAAUUGUGUUCUCAUGAUCAGAAACGCCGAGUGCAAUGCUGGUGGCAGGUCUUCAAGCUUCGCCUCUGAUGGAGAACAAACCACAUUUGCCAGAGAAGUAUCGAGAUCAAAUUCUAUGUUAAAUUGUCCAAGAUCUUCAGCAGUGUUUCCAUAAACAACAAGAGUGAGACAUCGAUAACUACCCCUUAAUACCGUCGCGCCAAUAAGCGAUAAGUUUGGUGUAGACGGAGAAGCAUUCUGCUCAAGAAACUCACAAGCAGUUAUGACAACAGGUUCUGCAAACAGCACCUCAUCGACAUAUUCAUCAAGCUGAGAAUGAACAAAUGAUUGAGCAAAUAAGACACAUGGCUCGGGGCGGCCCAUCCUCUCUUCUUUAACUCUAGAUAGACAUAGCCGAGUCGCCAAGGAGGAGGACGAUGAGAAAGAAGAGAAGCACCGCACCGCCCAUCGAGCUCCCCGCAAACGAGCCCUUCCGGCUCUUCUUCAAUUGUCGGAAAAUCGUCGCCCCCACCGGAGAGGGAGGGGAGAGCGAAAGCUAGGGCAGACCACAGACGGAGGAGGAGGUGGGGACUGGGGAAGAAGGAGCUAGGGCAGCACCGCAGCAAGUCGGGGUCGGGAGAGGACUGAGGAGGAUGGACCGAAUGGUAGGAGAGGAGGGCGUUGGGCCAACCGUCGGAUGCAGGGUUUGGAACUGAUCUCAACCGUCGGAUCCCAAACUCAAUUAGUCAGGUUAAGUCGCGAGCUCUGUUUAGGCUCGUGAGCUGCUCGGGCUCGAGUUUAAACGGGCCUUAUUUUGAGCUUGGGCUCGAGCUCGUUUGACUAACGAGCCGAGCCCGAGCCGAGCUUUUAUCGGGCUCGGCUCAUUAGCAGGCCUAACCCUAAACCCUAAACCCUAAAAACCCUAAACUUUAAAAUCCUAAACCCAAAAACCCUAAACAGAUUAGCAACAAAAUGAAGCAACCGAAGCAUCUGAACAAAAAACAUAUCAAAUUUUAGAUCAUUUGGAGUGGCCAUAAUGAAAAUAACAGAAAACUUAUUACCUUGAAAAUAUCCAUGUCAGACAGGGAUGUUUCAUUAACAUGAUUAUCCAUCCAUGAAAAUAUUGGUCGUAGAAGGACAACUGCACAUUCUGUCCUUUGGCAGGCAACACGAAUUAUGAGAACACGAAGCAUGUCUUGUACGACCACCAAAGCCUGAGUAAUAAAUUAACAACAGAUUUGAUCAACUGCCAGUAGUUUAAAAAAAAAAGAGCAAGAGAAAGCAACAUAUUAAGGCUGCACAUACGGUAGAGGCAAAAUGCAGGACAACUUGUGCAAUUCUGUCAAGUUGUGGCGUCAACCGAACGAGUAGCACUUCUAGGUGUUCUGGCUGUAAAUACCAGAUGAUGUCUCUCUCUGCUUGAGGUCCUAAAAUCGACCCAAUACUCAAAAGUCCCAAAGCACUUAAAGGGGGAAUCUCAUAUUUCCAUAGCCAUAUACCUUCCUCUGGAAAUAGAUCACCCUUUUGGUGCAUAAAGUCACAUAUAAGAGAAUGCACUGGUUAAGUAAAGAAUCUAAAUUAUGAGAGCCAGAUUAUGACUUAUCUAGAUAUUUAAGGUUCUGUAUGCAAAAAGAAAUCAGAAGCUCCAAGAGAGGCUCCAUGAAGUUGUUAGCAUUAUUACCAGUAGGCAGAGCAUGCUGCAGGCAUCCUUUGGACCCAAGGCUAAUGAUGAAGUAGCCUGAACACUCUCAAGAAGACAAUGAAAUAGACCAGGCGUCCAACCAAAUAUAGGCCAGCAAGCAAGCGCUGAUGUAAGAAGUUGACAGACAGCACCAAAACCAAGUGCAGAGCUUGCAUAUGGGAAAGACAAGUCCACUGCACAAGCUGCUAAUUUUGGGCUGCAAAUUUAACACUUAGGAUUAGAAAAAUUCAGCAACCACAAAGGAACUAAAGGAAAAAUCAAAAACAUGGUACCUUACUUCUCGAUGCAGUUGUAGAAGUGCGUUAAGUAAUUUUUUGUUGCGAUACUGCUCCUUUGUUUCCUACAAAUGAAGUGCCUUUUUAAUUUAAAAGCGUAUAUAAACAAACAGUGCUCAUUAACCUUAAUUGGUUAAAAAACUAUCAUCUUAUAAGUCAAAGAAACAUUUUUCAACUAACAUCACAAUACUUUAUUUCAGAUGCAAUAGCGAUAGAAAGUCAAUGAACCCAUUAUUUGUAUUGAAAUUGCAUUCUGCCAAGAUAGGACUGAUACUUCCAUAAAAUGCAACUCAAGUAAUUUUUGAUGAUUCGUUUUGACAUAGAUGCCUAUAGCCACUAACAUAAACAUGACCUGACACUCUUGGACGAUGGAUGUCAUGUCGAGUCCCGUUCCCUCUCCCCUCCCAACACUCAGGAUAGUGCCCCCAUCCUGUCACUCGACAUUGUGGGACAUCCUGCAGUCCCACUAGGACUUAAAUCCUUGGAUACAACAUAAUACAAAUACAUUGAAAUAGCAUAUCUCGAAGAAAUAGGAUAUGAUACAGCUAGGAUACACUAACAAAUAAAUAUAUAUUAUUUCCAUAUAAUUAAAAAGGAAUGCACAAAGCAUUAAUAGAAUAGAACGCUUAUUUCCAUCCUGCAUACAACAUGUAUUCGCAUCUGAUAAAUAUUGGUUAUAACCAUGGCAUGAAAACUUCUAGUAUCCACGUACCCUGGGGAAAAGUUGGUGUAAUUAAAAGACUAGGACUGUUUAGCCUGGUCAAGACACUCAUUAAACCACAGCUUCUAAAGAACAAUUGUUAACCAUCUUUCAAACAUUGGGGAUAUUCAGAUACUAAAAUACAUAUCCUUCUGAAGGAGCAUGAAUUUCUCGACCUUCCCAAAUAACCCAGAUUGAUGUUCUACAUGAAUGGAUGAGAUAUCAAGGAACAGAAAGGAACAACAAUCAGUAAUCAAGCCAAAGAGUCAUACAAUCCAUCAGAAGGAGAAAUUUAUAGUAGGCUAUGAAUAGGACCAAUAACGGCAAUAUAAUUCAUUAAGCAGACAUAAGAAGUUGUGAACUUCUAUAGUGGUUGUUAUGAACUUGUAUGUGACUUUUCACUUCGAUGCUUUGGGUUUAAAACAUAGCAAUUUCACAGUUUUGGUGCAGAUAAAUCAGAAUGUGAUGAAUGCCAAAGAAACAGUUGACUCUCCAUUAAUUAUCAUAGACAAAACCUAGUUCACAAGUCCUUGAUGCAAUAUGAAACUACAUAAAGUGUACUUAUUUGCCAGCAUAUUUCAGACUCGGAGCAUUCGACAAGGAGAGCAUGCAUGCUUAUGCAAACACUAAUAUAAUCAUGCAUACACAUAUAAAAUUCCAAGAUCUGACUUCUAACAAUUAGUUUCUAACAUGAAGUAAAAUUUUAGCAACUCAAUCAAAUUAUAUUCUUAUGGAUUUCUCCUGCGGCAUGUUUUAUAACUGAAAGAACAAGGACUAACCAAUCAUAGAACAUAUAGUUUCAGAAGCAUAUAUUGGCAUCCAUGAGAGGCUGCAUACCCAUGGAACUAAAUUGACAAUAGCACUACUAAGUAGUACAACGAAUAUUAUUAACCAUGAAGCUUCCAGGGAUUUUUGAGUACCAACACCUUCGGCACUUGGAGAGCCACAGUAGGGCAAUAUAGCAGCCCAUAUGUGGAGAUGUCAAAAUUUUCUCAAACAAAAUUUUAUACCUCUACGUGGACUGCAAAUGAGCUCCAUUAACUCUAUGCAUCUUAGGAAUGUAAGGUAUGUAAAUCCACAUUAUGUAAAAUUUCUUCCCAAGUUCCUAUACUAAGAUUUUAUAUCAAAUAUAUCUACAUAAUAAAUAGCAUUAAAGCAGGAGUACAGCAGCAGAAUAGAACAGUAUGUGUUUUAUUUGGUUAUUUGGUUUGCCUUAAUUAUAGUAGAAAAAGGUGAUUCUCCUUGCUUUUUAAACCAGAUCAAUUUUAUCCACUUGAUCAAUAAGCCAUAUAUGGUACAACAGGCUAAGUUUGAGCAAAUUGAAGAUUUGACCAGAUCUGCACAAUUUUUUUUAAACUACUUUCUAUUAGGUGUAAUGAGACAUUAUUAGGGAAGCACCGUUAUCAUAGAUCCAUGGAUUCAAGUGCCAGUCAGCACAGUCAACAUAACGUGACACAAAUCAUGCCAAUGCCUUACCAAUACAUGGCACUAGCACAGUAGCAGAUAUGUAAUGAUGCUUGGCACUCCACAAUGCCAUUGUGUGCCGAGCACUGGCACCAUCAACACAGUACAGCUUGGUACACAUCCUGUUGAUGCUAGGCCAGCACGAUUCUGGCAUGCAAUGUGUAAGUCAUUGACCAGACCUAUAACAUUGCUAAUUCAAGUUAAGUCUCACUUUACAACAUAUAGGCAACCACCAAUAACUCUAGAUUAAAAUUAAGGGUUGGAAAAAACCACGUCGAGUUUGGGGCCUUUGGGCCAGGCCCGAAUCUAACUGAGACACUUGCAUUUCUACAAGAAAGUUAGUAAAAUGAAGGUCAAUCUUUUGUCAAAUCCCUCUUGAUUAGAGUUCUCUAUAGCCAACCAAAAUUUGAUUGGAAGGGCUUGGGCUACUGUUUGCUCCUCCACGAAUUACUGAAAAUAGAUGAUAUCAAUAUUUUGCACAAUAGUAUUGUCUGAUAAGACUUCGGAUGAAAUAUUGCAUUAUGACUUCCUAAAACAAGCCUUUUGCCAAAACAUUAAAUUAAGUUCUUGUACGCACAAAUAUUGAAAAUGCUUGACGAUUAUAAUUAUGAUUAUGAUUAUGUAAAAAUUUUUAAACAUCACAUAAUUCAAUUUGCAAUGGAUUUGUAAGAGCGAUGUUGAUAGAACGUUGCAUAUUGGUUAUGAUUUAUAGCCAUAUAAAUUAUAAAGCAGAUAGGAAAAGAAAAAUUAAGAACAAGAAGUCCUAUAAGCAUAUAUAGUCAAAAAAAAUAAAUGGUCAAAACUUACGUGUAACAUUCUUAAAAGGUUAAUUAGUAAAACAAGCGAAGGAAUCAUGAGAUCAACUAAGCUCUGUUCAUGACUUCGUUCCAAUAGCAAAUCAGUCGUAGUGUUACAUUCUGCACCUUCAUCAAGUAGGUAAUCUGAAGAAUCAAACAGGAUCCAAAAUUCAGAAAAAUAGAACUCAGAAGAAAAAGAAAAAACUAUUCAAUGUAAAGCAAGCAAAAGAAAAGAGUCACAUGCCAAAAUAAAUGAUACACCCAGAUCUAAAGGGAAUUCUGCAUCCAAUAGCAUGAUGGAUAAAAAAGAUCUAUCUAACUUAAGGCAUGCCAAAUACGUUAGCUUUAGAGGAAGAUUUGAUCUAGAAGAAGGAGCCAUACUUGCUCAUUAAGAGGGAGGAUAUACAUUUAAAUGAAAGCUCUUCAGGGAAGGGGGGGAAGGGGAGGUUACUAUUUGCUGUUGCAUGCUUUACUUAAAAAUUUUCUACUGCAGUCGCUUUGCUCCUUAGUUUCUUCUUCCAUAUACACUAAUUGUAGUCAUUUAGUUUAGUUCAUUAGUGAAACCCAGCUAAGGGAAUACUGUAACAUACAAAGUAAAAAGAGCGUUAUGAAUGCCAUGAGUUCCCCCAAAGCUUGCUGUUGCAAUUCCUUUAUCUUUUCCCCUCACAGCCCCGAAUCGACUUAUAAGUCUUGCUUGCUUUACUUUGACUAGGGAAGAAAAUACGGUCUAUCUAUCUCAUUAUUUUGCGUUGAAUCCCUGUAAGUGUGUUAGGAAUAUUUCAAAAUUCCAAGUCUGCCCUUCUUUGUCUUUUGCCUUUUGUCUAGUGUACUUUCUUUAGUCCCACAUUGGAAAGAGAUAAAACCGAAAAGGUCUUUAUGUAGUAUUCAACCUUUUAACUUGGUGAAGCAAAGAAAGUAAAUAGCCCACGCGUGCACGAGCCCAAUGGAGGUCCAAGGCAAAAUUGGCGAAUCCGAUUCGGAAACGUUUAAUCGAGCGCGUCGCGCUUGAUCAUCACGUGCGGGAGGUGGGCUUGAGUCAGGUUUCUUUUUGCCGUUUUAUUUUUUGAAUUGUUUUGUUUUGUCUCUUGUUUUCUGUGUUCCCGAGAGGACUUCUUUGUUCUGUCUUCCUGAGCGGUUCUGGGCUGUUCGAUAGAAUCAUUGCAUCUGUGAGUGUACGCUUGGAGUGAUCCAGUUGUUGUAUCCUGGAGGAUAGGCCGCCAUUACCUGCUACACCGAGAUCCAUUCUCCGAGGGGCGCGAUCUAUUCUUAAGGACAGUGAAAUCACGCCUCAACUGAUAAGUUCUUCCUACUUUCAUUUAUUAUUUAUACAACAAGUGUACUUCCUACUAGCUUGAUUCUAGGUCUACCUGUUAAGUUUAGUCUUCUUUUUGCUAACUUGAGUCCACAAGGCAAGUGGCUGAUCAUAAUUCUUCUUUGCAAGUGCUUGAUUCCUGUGGAAUUCCCUGAUUCCUGUGGAAUUCCAUUAACAAUCUUAAAAUAAAUGAAAGCCUUUUUGAGAUACUUGUUACAAAGUAAGUUCAAUAUUUCACUGUGUGGGACAGCUAACUAACAAAAGCAAUUCCUGGAGGGGAAUCGAUUGAAGAGAUCGCCUGCCCUUGGUAAAAUUCCUUACUCAAAAGGACUAGAUUGUUAAGCUGCCUUCCAAGCUGCACCACUAUAUGAAUGGCUUGAACAAAUAAGAUAUGAGAGAGCACUUUCUCCUUCUAUUUCCAAAGGCUAAGAAGUUAAUGCCCGAGAAAGAGCACUUGAAAGUAAAACCCAAUCUUUUGCACGGUAGCUCCCAUAGAAUACUCAAACCCUGGCUCUUUCAUUUAAUCUGCUUUGCAUAUUUGCCUUCCUGAAACUUCCUAUGCUGCAAACAAAUUGACACAGAGAACAAUUUUGACAUCCAUCCAUCAAGAGCACUUUACCCUAGCAUGAAAAGUGUUGCUUAAUGGAAUUCCCUUUCUUGCUUCAAACUAGCCUACUUGAUUGAACAGUGCUUCUUGCUAAAGAGCAACUAUUGUAAACAACGACUAAUUUAAUCACCAGACAAGUGAUUGCAAGUCAUAAAAUGGAUUACUCAAUGAAUAGAGCUUUAUUUUGCCUUUUCGCAGGAAUACUCUAAUACAGGUAAGGAAAUGUCGUAAAGCUCCUGCCUCGAGGAUGGCAACUAAAGAGUUAUAGGCCGGAUACUAGCUCUUGUCUUUUAGUAGCUAGCUGUGCUAACAAUAGCCCUCCUCUUCUCUUAUAAGAGAUAGGUGCUCUCUCUAUGACCAAUUUUCCUUAAGGCAUUCCUGAUUGUAGACCACCCUUACGUUUACCUUUUAAUUAAAGCCCUUUGAUGCGCGAGGAACUGUCUGAAAGUGAAAGGCAUCAUUGGCAGAUGCCCAAGCGAAAAUUUUUGUGUAAUUGGGGAUAGGUAGGCACAGUCAAUCGGCAAUCAAACAAUUCAUUUAACAAUAUCGGUAUAAUGAGUGCCUCUUCCAAAACCAUAUCGCUCCUUUAUUCGUAUACUGAUUGCACCUAUUAGGCAAGAUGGAUUGGCUUAAGGCCCGAAUGUUUGACUUAACCAUUCCCUCACUUGAUUUGGGUAACCUUCUGAUAUCUGUAAUCCAUGCUAAGGAACUCGGUCAUGAAAUGGCGGAUCUCUCUUAUAACAUAUGGAAAGCAAGCAAGAACGGAACGAGUGCUUACCCUAUCGACCAAACGAGCAAAGCUACUAUCCGCAAAUCAUUUACUUCUUCACACAAGAACUACAAGAAUGGUAAUCUACUGGGCUAGCCUCCCAUUGUGUACCAAUGCUUGAACAGGACCAUUGACCUUUAUCAAAAGAAAGAAGAGUUGUUCGCCAGUUUCCUAUAGUCGACCAAUAUAGCUCAAGGUUCAAUUAUCUAAUUGCCAAAAAUGCCAGAAAAGCAAACACAAAAUGGAGAAAAGGAUGAGGAACAAUUAUCUAAUUGCCUACCAAGGUUCGAUGUACCACUCUGAACCGCCCAAUUAGGGACGUAACCGCACCAUCCAGUUUGGAACAUACCAAAUCAUAUUGAGUGAACCGAAACAGUACAGCCCCUCAGUUCAAAAAAUCGAGCGAACCGCUCCGAACCAGCCGGUUCAAAGCAGUGCCGAUACAAACCGCCUAGUCCGCACCAAUACAGCGCUAGUUCAAGCUCCACGCCUCCUUGCUUCAAUAAUUGAGAGGGGGUGCAGAGGUCUCCCAUGGCUUCUCAACCCUCUCAUUUUUUUUAAAAUCUAGAAAAUCUCCAAAAAUGCUGAAUGUCACUGAUUUCACACUAGCACGAAGCUCAAAUUAGGUAAAAUACCUAUCCCCCUCCUCUUUUCAGGCCUUUUUUUUGUUUACAGACCAGAAAUGAGCAUUAAAAUGACAAAAUAGCAGAUCAUGCCAAAUUUUCCGAUUUUGGCAAGAUUUCAUGAUUUGGUGUAAAUUUAGGAAUGAUCUACACCAAAAAAUGCUGAACCGGCCCGUACCAAACCGGUCCAAUCUCUGACUAGGUCGGUACGGCCUCAGAAAACGGUUACGGCCCUACCGGACCAGUUCUAUCUGAUUCGACCAGGACUUGGUGCGGAUCGGCACCGAGUCCUGUUCAAUUUGCUACAGGUCCGGAUCGGUACCGGUCUAGUGGCCAACCGGUACGUCAACCGGUAGCGGUUCGGCGUCCUUGACCUACACAAUACCACCAAAAUCAUAAAUUUUUAUUACUCUAUAAUUUUCAAAUUAAAAAUAUUUUUUGGAUUAAAAAUUAAAAAAAUUAGUCAAAAAAAUUCUGUAAAAUCGGUAGCAUGUUAGGGGUAUGUAUAUGCUACCUCUAUCAAAAUUUGAUGUUAGUUUGGUUAACUUUGGGUUUGAUCAUAUGUAUAUCACAUAGGACCAAAUUUGAAUAAAUUUGGUAAGUACGCAGUGCACUGUGCAUGCCCACAAGCUUAGAAAAAUACACGCAACAUUCUUGACAGGGUGCUACAAGGAUCCAAGAUCAAAUUAAUUUUCUAAAUAUUUAUAAUAAAAAAUUAAUUUUUAAAUAAAAUAGAAAACAAAAUAAUAAAAAGUUAUGAAAAAUUAGUUUUAUGUAUGGAUAAUUCAGAAGUAUUUCCUAAACUAGAAAAGUAAUUUUUUUCAUUUCAGUAAAAAUUCACUAUUUUAAAAAAUAAAUAAAAAGCAGUACUCUAAGAUAAAAUUAUAUGUAGCAUUUCUAUUAGGGUUCUAAACUAUUCCGAAUUAAAAUAAAUUUUCUAGAUAUUUUCAGUUUAAUAUUAAUCUAUCAAUUAAAUUUUAAUUAUAAAUUAUUUAAUGAGGUGUAGGAAUUAUAAAAAAUUAUUUUACAAGUCGACCGAUGCUUCGAAUCAAGUGCACAAUGCUCGGUACAUCCUCAAAUUGAUAGAUCAGGUGACUGAUCAAGCAAGAGACCAGAAUAUCGAGGAAGGAGUCACCAAUAAUGGCCCAAAUUGUUAGAUGAGGUGACUGAUCAAGCAAGAGACCAGAAUACCAAGGAAGUACUAACUAAUAAUGGCUCGCAGUACAAAGUCGUCCGGAGAUCUUGAUGGAUAGGAGGCCACAUAUAUUCUAGACCCCAUAUGCUACACAUUGCAUUGAUCUCAUGUUGAUGGACAUCAAAAAGAUUUACAGAGUGAAGCAGAUCGUGGAGUCAACCCAGUCCAUCACAUAGCUCGUCUACAACCACACAUGGGUGCUUGCUUCGAUGAGGAAGUACACAUAGGGUGACAUCUUAUAGCCAACAGUCACAUGCUAUGCGACGAACUACAUUUCACUGGAUAGCCUCCGUAAGAACAUAUAUAUACACACAUCAAAUAUUUGUCUGUACCAAGUGGCAAGAGACCAGGUAUGCCCGAGUUGGUAUUGAGGGGAGUCAGGUGGAAGGCUUAGGCCCUGUUUGGAGGAGCUUUUGGAACCCUCCAAAAGUACUUUUAGAUGAAAAACUGUGUUUGGUAAAUUUUUCAAAAAGCUGUUUCAGCUUUUGGGAGGAAGCUCCAAUUUGNNNNNNNNNNNNNNNNNNNNNNNNNNNNNNNNNNNNNNNNNNNNNNNNNNNNNNNNNNNNNNNNNNNNNNNNNNNNNNNNNNNNNNNNNNNNNNNNNNNNNNNNNNNNNNNNNNNNNNNNNNNNNNNNNNNNNNNNNNNNNNNNNNNNNNNNNNNNNNNNNNNNNNNNNNNNNNNNNNNNNNNNNNNNNNNNNNNNNNNNNNNNNNNNNNNNNNNNNNNNNNNNNNNNNNNNNNNNNNNNNNNNNNNNNNNNNNNNNNNNNNNNNNNNNNNNNNNNNNNNNNNNNNNNNNNNNNNNNNNNNNNNNNNNNNNNNNNNNNNNNNNNNNNNNNNNNNNNNNNNNNNNNNNNNNNNNNNNNNNNNNNNNNNNNNNNNNNNNNNNNNNNNNNNNNNNNNNNNNNNNNNNNNNNNNNNNNNNNNNNNNNNNNNNNNNNNNNNNNNNNNNNNNNNNNNNNNNNNNNNNNNNNNNNNNNNNNNNNNNNNNNNNNNNNNNNNNNNNNNNNNNNNNNNNNNNNNNNNNNNNNNNNNNNNNNNNNNNNNNNNNNNNNNNNNNNNNNNNNNNNNNNNNNNNNNNNNNNNNNNNNNNNNNNNNNNNNNNNNNNNNNNNNNNNNNNNNNNNNNNNNNNNNNNNNNNNNNNNNNNNNNNNNNNNNNNNNNNNNNNNNNNNNNNNNNNNNNNNNNNNNNNNNNNNNNNNNNNNNNNNNNNNNNNNNNNNNNNNNNNNNNNNNNNNNNNNNNNNNNNNNNNNNNNNNNNNNNNNNNNNNNNNNNNNNNNNNNNNNNNNNNNNNNNNNNNNNNNNNNNNNNNNNNNNNNNNNNNNNNNNNNNNNNNNNNNNNNNNNNNNNNNNNNNNNNNNNNNNNNNNNNNNNNNNNNNNNNNNNNNNNNNNNNNNNNNNNNNNNNNNNNNNNNNNNNNNNNNNNNNNNNNNNNNNNNNNNNNNNNNNNNNNNNNNNNNNNNNNNNNNNNNNNNNNNNNNNNNNNNNNNNNNNNNNNNNNNNNNNNNNNNNNNNNNNNNNNNNNNNNNNNNNNNNNNNNNNNNNNNNNNNNNNNNNNNNNNNNNNNNNNNNNNNNNNNNNNNNNNNNNNNNNNNNNNNNNNNNNNNNNNNNNNNNNNNNNNNNNNNNNNNNNNNNNNNNNNNNNNNNNNNNNNNNNNNNNNNNNNNNNNNNNNNNNNNNNNNNNNNNNNNNNNNNNNNNNNNNNNNNNNNNNUUAUUAUGUUCAGUUGUAUAAUACUAUGCAAUGUCCUUUAUGGUAAUUUUGUCAUACAAAAGUACUUUCUCAGUUUGUUUACCAAACACAAAACAAAGUACCACAGCACUUUACGAAUGUAGUUACCAAAUAGCAAAUAGCUUUUUAUAACAGCUCUACUUCAGACAGCUCUACUUCCAACAGCUCUACUUCCAAUAGCUCUACUGCCAACAGCUUCCCCAAACAGGGCCUUAGCGACGAGCCAACAAUUUUGGCAAUGAACCUACGGGAUCGUGAAGGCUAUCAAGCCAUUAUAUGGAAUGCUAAAGGCAAUGGACAGCGAGAGAUAUACCCAGAAGGACUUCCGCUACCACAUGAUGAUGGUUGUAAAGGCCCGAAUCAGGAAAGCAAAUCUCAGACAUGCACAGGAGUAUAUUGAUAUCAUCAACCAUAGGUGGGCAAGGUUCGCGGUACCGAUGGUACCGACGUACUGGUCGGCUCCGGUAACGGUACGGUACCGGUGCCGAACCGAUACAGUACCAAUGGGGCACAUUCGGCCUGGUUUCGACCCCAUCNNNNNNNNNNNNNNNNNNNNNNNNNNNNNNUUUUGGAUAUUUUUUUGAUGUUUUUAUGUUUAGGUUUAAGGUUAAAAGUAGAUGAUGCAACUUAUUACUUCCAAAUGAUUCAAAUAAUGAGAUGAAGAACAUAAAAUAUUUUCAAAUUAAGAUACAAUUAAUUACAUACAUUUAAAGUACUCUCGAAUAUCUAAAAUCGAGUUGAGUGGCACUUUUCAAAGUGCCCCAGUGUGGCACUUUGAAAAGUGCCCUAGUGUGGCACUUUUGAAAGUGCCAGCCUCUGGCCAGCACUGUGGCAUUUUCAAAGUGCCACAGCANNNNNNNNNNNNNNNNNNNNNNNNNNGGUGCGAACCGGCUCGGUUCGCACCGGUUCGAGCUCAUACCGGUGCGAACCGAGCGGUUCGCACCGGUUCACACAUGUACCGGUGCGAACCGAGCCGGUUCGCACCGGUACAAGGCUCAAACCAAACGGUUCCGACCCAUAUUGGGUCGGAACCGUUUUACACCCUUGUACCGGACCGGUACGGCUCGGUACCGGUCCGGUACGGGCUGAACCGACCGGUACAGGUCGGUUCAGCAGACCUUGUAGGUGGGAUUAUCAGAUAGGAAAGAAAUUGCAUCUAGCAUGUAAUUUCACUUGUAUACCUAUUUGCCAUAUAUUGUUGUAUGUUUUAAAUACAAGUGUUACACUAAAUCAAAUGCAAACUAUAUUAACCUACUAUCUAAACCCGAGGUUCCAGUACACCAUCCUUACGAGAUACAUAGAUGAGGAACUUCAAGUUGCCCUGCACAAUGUUACUUAUAAGAUGGAGCCUAAUCCAGAGGUCGCUGCCAUAUAUUUGGAAGAGGUGAGUUAACUUUGCCGACUUUGUGAACUCGUGUAAACAAUUGACAUCCGUAACAUGUAUGACAUAUCUUUUCCAAAGAUGAAAAUAUUUAGAGAGGGCUCGGCUAGCUUCAGCGUCCUAGCAACUGUAGCAAGCAAACAAAAAAAUGGGUCCAUGUAUUUUAAGGUAUGGACUACAGUUGUUACUUAGAUGUCAUACAAUUAGUAUUUAGUAGUGUCUAAUAUGUACUUUUCUUGAAUGCUUUUGAAGCUGAAUGGUGUAUCCACUUCGACCUGUCUUUCGAGUUGAAUUUUGCUAUCGGCAUCUUUAGGUGGUCAUAAAGUCUAACAGAUAAGUCCUCAUGGAGUAGCUAUCCAGUGAACCCCAAAAGGAUCGAGUCCUAUCGCAAUAUAGACCGGUUGGAAAGUCGGUGAGAUGCACCUCUAAAGUACUAUUAUCAUCAGGAUGUCUAAGAGUCAUAUCGACACUCCACCAAAUUUUAGAUGUCAGUAUAUAUUUUGUACUUUAAAUGCAUUAAAAUCAAUUCAAUUUGUUAUAUUGUAUAUAUUUCUACUUAUAAAUACAUAGGUUGGACAAGUCCUAGUUCCAUUUCAUGAUAAAAUAAAUAAGGAUAAAAUAACAAAUUGGACAACAAACCAAGAAAAUUUUUAAGUACAAAUCCAAAAAAAUUAUUGAAAAACAAUGGAAAAACAAAAAAAAUCAAAAUGAUGUACUAGUCAUGGGUACGCCAUGGCAUACCAAGUGUCAGUACAAUACCGAAUUGGUAUCGUACUGUAUCGCAUGCUAACCGAUACAAAUCAUCGCACCAAUACAGCAGACCUUAAACUAAUCCACUCAUGGCAAGUAGAAGACAACCUUAGAUUCAACAUCAAGUUGCAAGAGUAGCUUGGCAGCCUUCUCCCAUAAUACAAUGGUCACUCCAUUGUGGCUUAUGCACAAAGUAGGAGGAAACUCAAACCAAAACCAUGUAUGCCAACCACGCAGAAGUCAAAGGAAUUUCAAAGCAGGAAAGAGAAGAUUAUCUAUCUCAAUCUUUGUGUCAUGGCAAUAAAUACCAAGUUCAUAAAAUGAGAAAACAGAAACCCUAUCCCAAAUAGCUGAUAAGUAUUAUGUAAUCAUAACGACAACCAUGAUUAUCAGCCUUGACCUAAUUAUCUGAUACUUGUAUGUGAUCUCUCCAAUUGUUAUGUAACCUAAGACCCUUUUUGUAUGAUAAACAUCCAAGAUCCAACACUUCAAAUGAGAUAUAGUUGGUGCACAACUCUGCUAGGAUCCACAAUCAACUGAAGAGGCAGCAAGAUGACAGUUUAAAGAUGGCAUGCCAACCCUCCAUGGAUGGAGUUAUAUCAAGGAAUAAGUGCUUAGAUGGUACUUGUCAAGUCAAAAAAAACAGCAUGGAGCACUCACCGUAGUUGUUUGACAAGCGCUCAAGCAUAAAUUUACAAUUGACUAAAACCACAUAAACAAGAUUAACAGCACCUUCUUCAAAAAGAGAGGCAGCCACAGCCUGCAUCAACAAAACAAUGAUCAGAAAUUGUAUAAAAUCAAAAGAAAAAGGUCGACAUAAGAAAUUUAUAUUGAUUGAAUAUUGAAAAAUAUUCUUACUGCAUCUUCUGAAAUAAAUGCCAAAAUUCGAAAUGCUGUUGUCAAUUGAACUAUAGAGGUACUGCAGAGUGUGACUCCAUCAAAGUACUUAUCAGUGACAAACUUUCCAAGUAGAUUAUCCACAGCUUGAGAAUCAGAAGUGUUGGUUGAAUCCCCAACAACAUUCUCAACGUCAAUUGUUGGUUGAGCAUCUCCACCAGAAGCUAAAACGGCAGCAUAUCUAAGAAGCCCUACAGCCCCAUUUCUGUGAUAAACAACACCAGCAUCUAUCCACUCCAACAACCUUGUAGGAGCAUCCUUUUUAUUGGACCCUGGAGAAGAAGAGUGUAAAGCCUUAUGAAGUUCCACAGCAUGUCCAAUCCAUGAUUUGAGAGAAGAUGCAGUUGAAUCUGUGACCAUGACUUCAAAAAUCUCUGCUGCUGAAUGGAAGAUGGCAAGACUCAGCGGAGGAGUUCCUGAAAUUCAGAACUCUCAAUAAGUAUUUGCACAGAUUAAACAAAGAGCCACCAAGCUGGAGCCAAAAAGAGUGAAGGAGUAGAACUGAAUAAGACAAUUAUAGCAAAAAUUGACUUAUACUCUACCGCUGUUCAUAGCACUUGGCUCUAUCUCUUUGAAAGAACGCAACGCGUCUAGAAGGACCAAUAUUGCCUGCAGCACCAUAGUCGGCAUAAUUAUGUAAACUACAACAGUUGGGUAAAAAUUCAAUGAUGUUCCUGCAGGUCAGAAAUCAAGUACAAUACCUCCGGAAAAUGGCUCAGAGUUAACAACGCUUGACGACCAGAAUGAGACCUGCAUAUCAGCUCUAGAUGCUUCACGAGCAAUUUAACUUUCAAAAACAAAAUAUAAUGCCAGAUCAAUCUACCUGGAAAUGCCACAAAGUUCCCAAAGUACCCAUAAAAGUUCGUCAGAAUGAGUUGUUGUUGCAAGCAAGCGAUCAAUAGCAGUCCCCUACAGUGAGGCAAAAUUACAACAAAUAGGUAGAAGAACCGCAUAGGAUGGAAGGAUCAAAAUCCAUCUCCAUCUGUCUGUAUAUACUUAUUAAUGUAAAUAUGCAUUACUGUAUGUGUGCACUGUAUGCAAGGUUCUACAUUCCAUUGCAAGUUUAAUAUUCCCAUUCUGACUUUCAGAGUUUCAGACAACAAAAUCAGGAAAAAAGUAAAAUUAGGAAAAAUAAUUGAAAAAUAAAACAAUCCAAGAAAAAGAAUAUCACAUAAUAUUAUGGCCAAAUUUUGUUUCCUUUGGAAUCAUUUAAUGAAUAGUGUUGCUGUAUCGCUGUUCUCAAACUAAAAAGUCUGAAACUAAAAAACAAACUAAAAGUUUGAAAUUAAAAAUUAAAAGUAUGUUGAAACAAAUUAAUAUGUCCAAAAAUCAUGUUAUACAUAUAUUUCAAGUGUACUAUGUCAGUCAAUUUUAUGAUAGCAAUUUAAUUAUAAAUUUUGUAAGUGUGUUUAUGUUUCAAAGAGUAAAGUGGACUUUCAGAGUUCAGUCAACAAAAUCAGGAAAAAAGUGAAAUUAGGAAAAAUAAUUGAAAAAUAAAACAAUCCGAGAAAGAGCAUAUCACAUAAUAUUAUAGUUUAAUUUUGUUUCCUUUGGAAUCAUUUAAUGUAUAGUGUUGCUGUAUCGCUGUUCUCAAACUAAAACGUCUGAAACUAAAAAACAAACUAAAAGUUUGAAAUUAAAAAUUAAAAGCAUGCUGAAACCAAUUAAUAUGUCCAAAAAUCAUGUUAUACAUAAAUUUCAAGUGUACUAUGGCAUUCAAUUUUAUGAUAGCAAUUUAAUUAUAAAUUUUGUAAGUGUGUUUAUGUUUCAAAGAGUAAAGUGUACAAUUUCAUCUUCUUUUUUCCAAUUUCUUAACUUUGUCUUGAAUUUCAUAGAAUUGAACUCAAAAUAGCUUUCAAUGUUUUCAAACUUUGCCCCAAAAAAAAUUCCAAAUAGCCUUAACAAAAUGCUUCUUAUAUUUAAAUAGCAUAUUUAUGCAAUUAAAAAUCAGAGUCCUGAAUAAAAAGCAAUUGGUUUCUAUCUCAUAUUUAUAAUUCUGAUUAAUAUCAAUUAUAUGCAGAAAUCCUAAUCUCUUCAUCUUUUCUGCUUCACUCAUUCAUAUUAUCAACUACGUGCCAAUUUGAACGUAUUGAGAAAGCCUCUCUCUUUCUCUUUAUAGAUAUAUUACACAUAUUAUAUAUAUUAUGUUACAUAUAUUAUAUUAUAUAUUUUAUAGUACAUAUUAUAUUAUAUAUAAACACACGCGCGAUCUUCCUUUUUUGUAUAUCUAUAAGCAUGUAUAUAUAUAUAUAUAUAUAUAUAUAUAUAUAUAUAUAUAUAUAUANNNNNNNNNNNNNNNNNNNNUAUAUAUAUAUAUAUAUAUAUAUAUAUAUAUAUAUAUAUAUAUAUGUUUUGAAGACUUAUAAGCCACGCUAUGAAAUUAUGGGAAAGAAUAAUUGAUAAACAGAUGUGUAGAAUUGAUAACAAAUGUAGAGAAAAGGAAGAUGGUCUACAAAAGGCCUUUAUUGAUUUAAAGAAAGCUUAUGAUAGGGUAGCAAGAAAAGUAAUUUUGGGGGGUUUAAGAAGGGGGUACACAAAUGGUAUAUUAAAAUAAUUUAAAAAAUACAUGCCAGGACAUUAACCAAUUAAAAUGGUAUUGCAUCAAUGAUCAACACCAAACCAUAUCUUUUUGCAGUGGUUUUAGAUGAACUGACUACUAAUGUUUACGAAGAUAUACUGUGAUGCAUAUUACUUGCAGAUAAUAUAGUGCUGAUGGAUGAAAAGAGAACUAUAUUAUACACAAAUUUGGAUUUAUGGAGGAAAAGAUAAGGGUUUAAAACUAGUUGAAAAAAAGAUAGACUAUAUGACAUGUAAAUUUAGUGAAAAAUGAACAUGAAGAUGUAAUACAAAUGAAGACUGAUGGACAAAAGAUACCACAAGUUGACCGGCUUCCUUAUUCAAGAUCUACUAUACAAAAUAAUGGGAAGAUAAUACAUGAAGUGCAUACCUUAAAGACUCAAGGGAAAAUGUUAUAGAACAAUAGUAAGGCAUCCAAUGUUGUAAGGCUCAAAGUCCCGGGCAAUAAAAAAAGUACAUGAAAAGAAGUCCAGUGUGGUAGAAAUAAGCAUGUUAAGAUGGAUGUGUGGUACAUAUAGAGGAAUAGAUUAAGAAAUGAAAAUAUUAGGAGCUAUCAGAUUUCUGCAAAUUAAGGACAAGGUCAAAAAAUAUCAAUAAAGAUGGUAUGGACAUGUACAACAAAACCUUAGAAGGCUCCAAUGUGAAAAUGUACUCUAGUUUGGGCUGAAGGUUGUAAGAAAAGGGAGGGAAAGGCCUAAAGUAACAUGGAUAGAGUUGUGUGGAAGGAUAUGAAGAGCCUUGGAAUAACAUCAGAGUUUUCCCUAAAUAGGAAUAAUAGGUAAAUCAUGGUCCAUAAAACGAAACCCAAAUAUUUAUGAAAAGGUCAAAUGAUUAUGGCUAUGGCAAAUUAUUGAGAUAUACUCAACUGAUAUUGGAUGAAUAACAGAUAAGACUUGGAAAUCAUAGAAUUACUUGAACAAGUAACUCGCAUCGACAAAAUGCCACUAUGAGUUAGAAUCCCUUAUUAUAACUCAAAAAAAGAAAAUGAUUCGAAAUUGAUGCGACUUCCUAAGCAUGCUCAAAGAAGUAAAGAAUUUUUCUCAAACUGACUUAAAAACGCUAAACCAACAUACUUGGCAUGCAUGAUUAUUUUCAUCUGAAACCAACUGAAAUUACUAAAAACUAGUUAGUUUGGGCCAAAACUAGUUAGUUUUGGCCAAAACUAAUCACAACCGGCAAAACCAAAAAUCAGGGCUCGGUUCUGUUGCUGAAACAAAUUGAUUUUGACAAUAACUUGAAAUCUUAGUUCUACAUACACGUUUACAUAAACGUACAUGUAUGUAUGUAUGUAUGUAUGUGAUAUAAACUGACCACUUUAAGAUGGAGCUCUAUGAUCAUCCCAACUUCCUGUGGAUGACAGAAGAAUCCCUUUGACAAAAAAACAGCCGCCUGCCUAAGAGCCAUGCAUUCUUUCUUACUUGUAUCUUCAGGAUCUCGAAGAGAAAGAAUUAUGAGCUCAGUUGCUUCAGGUUGAACAAGUAAGAAAGAUAAGCCUGGUAAACAAAAGCAGAUUUUAUUGAUGUCAUCUUGGUUAUUAUCAUUAGAAAACGGGGAAUCAAUAGAUAGAGAAUCAACAAUAAGACCUGAACGAUAGAAAAGGAGAGAGAGAAGUAUGGAUUCAAUUGAUGUGGCAAUUUCCAUAAAUAUGUCUGCUGUGCUCCCACUUGCUGACCGUAGUACAGGCGAUGACAACAAAGCAGCUGACAAAGGAAAAAAGCCUCUUUCCUGUUUUGACAAGGUCAAUUUGAUUUAGCAAACUGUUAUUCCAAAUAGCAAUUUAAAUCAAAAUGUGUAUACCGAACCAUAAUAGGUGCACAGAUUUUAACCAGAAAAAGACUGAGAACAGCAUAAAAAUUCUACCAAGGCACAAUAAGCAAUCUUUAGGCACGCUUAAGUAAAUGCUUGCAAUUUUUACUCUAGAUUUAAUUAAAACUCGCACCUUAGAAAUAGAACAAGGUAUAUUACAUAGAUCUAAAAAUUUUAUUAUGAAGUUGUUUCUUUUGGAGAAUUCGCCAUGUCAAAGUAGAAAUGCGUUGAACAAGAAACCUUAAGCUUAAGCAAGGCAAAAUUUGGGGGGAAAACACAUCAUAAUCUGAAUUUAUGGCACUUUUCACAAACUAGUGAGCUUUCAAGCUGUCUCCACACUCCAUGGACAAGUCAGGGUUGAUAGGUUUUUCAAGAUGCAGGAAUUUGAGACAGUAGGCAUAUUAGCAUGAUUACCUUAAGUAGAGAUAACAAAUAUGUGUCGAUGUCCCAUCUAGCAAAACUAUACUUGCAUGUUGUAAUAUAGUUGACAGUUGCUUUGUAAGACAACAGACCCUCUGAUUGGCCAGAAAUAGAUAAUCUUUGUGCAAAAGCCAACGGAGAAGAAUCUUCAAUUGGUCCAAACAUAUUAAUCAAUUUCUGCAUCAAAUCUUGUCAGCAAAAUAUUGCACAGAAACAUGGAUACAAAAUAACAAUUAACAUAAACAGUAUAAUAGGUACACACUACACGCAUGCAGGUGCUUGCACACAUGUCCACAUUGACAUGCACAUGAUUAGAUGCAUGCUUAACACGCAUAAACACAUGGAGUUUACUUUUCCCAAGAUCCAACCCAGCCCCCAGCCGAACAAGACCGUAUUAUAACUGCAAACAUUCAAUGCCUAUCCCAACUCAACAGGACCAAACUCCAGCAAAGAUAUGGACCAAAUGAGUCAGGGAGCUCCUCAACCAAACAAUUCUUGAUGUGACUUGUACAUACAUGCUAAAUUUGCCCAAUAAGCAGACUAAAUGUAAUGGUUCGCUAAAAUACAGUUAAUAGGUUAUUGAAUCACUAUAACGAACAAAUUAUUAUUAUCAUUACGAAGGAAUCGCCCUAUUUAUUGCCAAAAUGCAGGCUUCAUUUGGAUCCAUUAGCAUUGCAAUGAGUUAAGCAGUAUACUGCUUUGUUUAUCAUCACAUGACGUCAUAUUGAGCCACAAUGCGAAAUUUUCUGAUGGACUUAUACUGCGAUAAAUUGUCACGAGUGUUUAUCAAAAUUGAUGCUUAAUCAAUUGCUCAGUUAUAGGUUGGAUGCAUACUUUAUUACCCACAUGAGAGAUCUGUAGUGUAAUCUAAUUAACGACUAUGAAUAUCUAAAAAACUCCUAACCCCAAAAUUAUUCAAAUCCAAACCAAUUCUAACCGAAUUUCAAAAAUAUGGGACAGACUUUGAUAUAGAUGAGUCCUAUUUUAACCCAACAUUCUUGUUGUAUCCUAGUAGUAGAAUCAUCAACUUGAAACAGUAGUUUAUAAACAGGUUGGGGUUGCCUCUGGAUCAAACAAAUCCAAAGACCAACCAAACCUAUUUGCAGCCUGACCACAAAAGCCAUCAAUGCAGAACUAACCAGAAUUUGCUUGAGCUUAGAAUUUGCGGCAGCAAGUGAUUCACUUCCAUCAGUACUAAUAUGGAAAUCAGAAGAAAGAUUAGCCAAUACACAUAGCACUGCAGCCUGCAGACAAAAAAAAACAAAGGGUCAGAAGUAACAGUAAGUAAAAUGUCCAAAAUCGCAUGAUCAAUGUUUUUGACGAGCAGUAACAAACCUCAAAUUUCGAGACAGUCUCAUAGAAAUGCAAACGGUGUAGGAUAUAGGUUACACGAGAGGCAACAUCAUGCCGUUGCCAUCCCAGUAACAGCUUCAGUAAAUAACAAUAACCUUCACUUUUACCAACUGGAACAUUCUCAUCUCCACGUGGCCACCAUCCCAGAAAUCCAUCACAUCCAAUGCCAUGCCGAGUAGCAUGUUCCACAAUACCAAGCAAUAUUAAUGUGAUAGCUGUAGAAUUUUGUGCCUCAUAACAAAAUAAAUCAACAAUUUGCUCCAUUCCACCAUUAUCAACAAAAUGAAAGCAACUCUCUCGUGAAGAGCAGAGGACAAGAACAAUGCUCCAUGCUAAAAUCAUGUUUUUGAUCUGAAAGAAAUAAUAAUUGUAAGAUACAUCACAAAUCUGGAAGAGAAAUAGAUGGACAUGCCUUUCCAUUGAUCAAACAUAAUUCUAACCCAAAAUACUUGCGAACCAAAUGGAUGUACCUGAGAAAGCAACGGUAGCUCAUCAACUGAAAAUUUCCUGAAAAAUGGAAAACAUUGAUUAAACAUGUCAACUAGCAGUUUAGAAGUAGGCAACUCAGCCACUGAUCCAAGAGUAAUUCCAUCUUCCAUUAACUGAGUACCCCUCCUUACAGAAUGAAUUUCAUAGAGUUCAACAAGCUCUUUUCUAGCCUCAGAAAGAACAUUAAUAAAUUGCUGGGAAUCUUUUCUUUUAUCAGUGAACCCGUUCAGCAAUUGUUGGUCCCAAUAGACUGCGAAGCUGUUAUUGCUACCAGUGGCAUAUGAACAAACAGCUGAUACAACAGAACUUGCUAAUUUAGAAAUUGUGUUCUCAUGAUCAGAAACUUGACAAAUCUUAAGAGCUAAAAGCAAAAACUGUUUCAUUUCUGGUGGAAUGUCAAACUCAGGAAAUAGAAAAUUCAAGGACUUCAGGGAAGAUAUGGAUUCCUUGAAUGUCAUCUUAGCCGAGUGCAAUGCUGGUGGCAGGUCUUCAAGCUUCGCCUCUGAUGGAGAACAAACCACAUUUGCCAGAGAAGUAUCGAGAUCAAAUUCUAUGUUAAAUUGUCCAAGAUCUUCAGCAGUGUUUCCAUAAACAACAAGAGUGAGACAUCGAUAACUACCCCUUAAUACCAAAUGAUUUGUAACUAUAGCCUGCAUUAUGUUGUCAAUGAAGCAUAUGAAUAAUCCAGAGUAAUAACCAAAACCAAGAGAUUUAACAUAAGAGCAAUAAAAAAAAUUAACCAACAUCAACAGAAAGCAACAUUAUUAUGUGUUUAAAUAUGUGAAAUCCUCUAAUACCAGGAUCACUGCAUUCAACAAGAUCUAAAUCUCUAAGUUUGAUGUAUGAAUAAGGAAGAGUCACGUAUUACGUGCAAACAAACUUAUAAUAUAGCAAACAAUUUUGUAGAUAACAGUAACAUCUAAAGCCUGCUUAACUCGCUAGACAGUGCUUACCAUUGAAAUAGACCAACUAUUCAAGUGUUUGAUAAUAGUUUAAUUCAUUUAGAAGUUUGAAAGAUCAUAUGGAGCUUACCAUUGAAAAUAUACCAUGCAAUGCUGCAUUCAUUCAGUUAUUUAAUCUAUUGAUUGAAGCGACAUUAAUACAUUACCUAAAUGGAUUUCAAAACAUGUGCUUUUUAAUUUAAUCUCACUUCUUUUCAGGCUGGUAUACAACCUGAAAUGUCAUGCAUGUACAUGUGCAUAUUAUGCUUAAAACAGAUUAAAAAAAAAAAGUCUCCCUCUUAUCUCGAUAAUCUGAUUGGUCAACAUGAGACAACCUUCAAUGACAAACUAUGCAUUUAUUUUUAUAGUUUUUCACCUUACCUAGAGAUAUUAUAUUCUUGAAAAGCUAUGUUUAUGUUCAGCCAUUAUACCCAAAACCUUGUCUCUUAUGUAUUUUCGAAAAAUGUACAACUAAUAAGAUCAAGUUUCUCCUUAUUCACAAUAUGAGAAUAUAACUCAGGUACAAAUAACUUUCAACUGCUUAACUGACUGUUUAAUGCUUCAGUAUUUUAAUUUAUCAUGCUAGACGUAAAUUCUCCCUCUACUUUCCUCCGUUUGAUAGGGAAGUAAAUGGGGACAAACACCCGAAUAUUUUAGCCGUCCCCGAACCGAACGACGCAGUUUCAACCGAAAUUAAAUGGGGAUGAUUUCGGUGAUGGUUUUAAAAAAUUAAAAACCAUUCGGUUUCGUGUUCAGUUUCAGUUUUGGUGAAUUCCCUGACCGAAAAUACCCGAUGGUUAAUACCCUUAAUACACUUUGUAUUCAAGAUGAAAUCAAAUUAGGAGCUUCAUGAAAUAACCUGGGCCAUCCCAUAUUCCACUCAAUGACAAAUUUGAACAGCACAUUAUUUUUGGAUAUAUUUAUUAGAUGAGUUGGUAUGAAUUAUAAUAUAGAAAUUAUGGAACAUAUCUUUAAUUUUGUUAUUUAUAUGUGAAAAUUUUGAAAUGAAUAAAAAAAGUUAAACAGUUUUUGGUUUUUCGGUUUCAGUUUCGGUUUUGCAAUUUUUUUCUGGUUGCAGUUAUGGUUUUCGAUUUCAAAAGCUGUUCGGGUCCGGUUUCAAUUUCGGGAAGCAAUGGUGGAUUUCGGAUUUGGUUUCGGUUUUUUCACUAACCGCACCGAAUCCGCGCCAUUGACAUCCCUACCCUUUGAUCCUCAUAUUCAAUUUCUUAUUGCCUCUUCUAAAUUGCAAUCAGAUAACUUCCAUGCAGCCUUUGAUCAAUGUAACAACAUCAGCACCUUUGGUAUGCAAGCAUUAAUGUGAUAGAGUCAAUGCACCUAGGCAAAUCAUGUUUAAGACAUCAAAGUCAAAUUUUAAAUUAUAAAAUAUGAAAAACAGCUAGUACUUUGCAAUUUACCGACAUGGGUAUUCAAGUGUCCAAGUGCUUAGCAGGCACACAUCCGCAUCUAAUAUGAGUAAAUACAUAUUAAUGUAGCAUAUGAAAAAUUAGGAUAUAAUUGAUUGUCCUUAAAAAUAGUUCUAAUUCGACUUGCCUAGUCCCUGUUACCUUCUUGGACACUCCCUAGGAUGUCAAACAGCAUAUGAGAGCAAACUAGGCAGCUAGGCCCUAAUGAUGGCCAUCUAUUACAAUAUUACAACCUCCAAAGAAAUAAAAUAAAACCCCUUUUGCAAUCGAAGAUAGAACCAACAUCAAACACACCAAACAGUUUAAUUUUGGCCUAGCAAUACAAGAUUUGGAGCAACGGACUUUUAAACAAGUUAAAACAAGAAAUCAACUUCAAUUAGGAAACAACAACCAAUUUCUAAGUCAGAAUUAGGAAGGAGUCUUAACAUUGAUGGUCAGAAAUGUUAAUCCUGCAACCCUUUCACUUAUUAUCCCACUACUAGACUCACAUCCAGGCUACUUCAAUCUUGUUCAAGAGGCUCAGAAGGCAAAUCUAGAGCCUAAUACGUGUGACUCUGAGUUCUCUCUCCCAAAGCAAUCUUCAAUUGUUUUUGACACUCUAGGUAAAUCUAGCGUACUUGUUGUAGAGGUAACCUAUGGGUCAAAUGACUAUGUACGAUUUAUAAUAUGCUGUUUCUUUCCUCCAAAAACAACUACAAGCUCGAACUCAAGAUUUCUAAUUCGCUAGUGAACACUCAUAAAUUGACAAGUUGAUUGUCCAUCCCAACCUCAAUCCUGGCACCAAACUAAGUCUUCUAUAUUAUUAAACCUAGAAUCCUUAAUCUUCUUUGCGCCGUAGAGAAAACCACACCCCCACACACCGUAUCCAUCCAACCAACACCAACUCAAGUGAAAUAUUAUUCGCGAAAGUAUGGAGGAAAAGAUUCAGAUGAAAUCAUCAUAGCGAAACAAUCAUAAUUGCAUUCAAGGCCAUGCCUUGAUGUAGGCAGAAUAGCAAAUCUUUUGGUGAUGUUAAUUUUCCCUGACAUCUCUCCACAAUAGUUCUCAAGCAACAUGUGGUAAUUUCCUAAUACUUUGAUACAACAAUCAUCCACACCCCAAACAAAUCAAUGGAGCACCCACAACCUCCCUAUAUCUUCCAGAGCAAAUGCAACCAAUUCAAUAGGUAGAGAUACACAAAACAGAGCCACAAGCAUCAAGUCUCAAGUCUUGUACCCCCUAUUUACGCUCAGUUCUAUGAAUCGUCAAUUGCCACAGUCUCCUAUUUAGGCUGAUCUUAAUGUAACUUCAAGCUUAUCCAUAUCGUUUUUCACAACUUCUGCUCCCAUUACCCUAGGACUUUCCCUCCUCUUCCCAUAUCUUUCAACCAAGAUCAAAGUAUCCCCCCCUUAUUGCAUGUGCUUGUACCAACUUAGUUGAUUCUCCAUCAUUUCAUCCUUAAUUUGCGCGCACUCUACAGCUCCUCAAGUAUACCCAUUUCACAUUUUAUUCUUUCUACUUUUACUACACGUCCAUUUUAGCAUUAUCAUUCUUGCUAUGUCCAUCUUGUCUUUUCAAAACGUCAUUAUGUGCAGUCGUGCACCAUUUUAAGCUAUACAACAUUGCAUGCUCUAAUAUCAUUCUACAAUUUCCUCUUUAAGGGGCCAAGUUAUAAGUCAACCAUACAAUACACAAAAAGCACAUUUUUCCACUUCAUCCAACCAGCUUUAAUUGUAUUACAUGUCUUUAUCUAUCUGCCAUUGUUUUGCACAGCAGGUCCUAGAUAACAAAUCUGAUCGAUAUAAGGUAUCUUAGACAAUCAAACUUGUAAGGCCCUCAUGCUUGUUUUUGUUUUCCCAGAAACUAUGCCCCAUAUAUUUUUGUUUGUCGUAUCAUAUCCUCUAAUACUUACAUGAAUAGCAUUAAUCUUGUUGUUUUCUUUCUCAAUAACCUACAUAACAUCUACAAACAAUAUACACCACAGUACAUCUUUAUGAAUAUCAUCCAUAGCAUAAAAGACAUAAGCUUAGUAUCGAUCCUAUAAUAAGUUUCCUACGAGUCUAAGACGAGAAUUAGUAUCAACAAAUAUCAGCAACGAGAGUUCCAAGCUCAAAUGGAAAAAGGUUGGGAGUUGACGUUAGGUUGACAAAUAGUCAUAAAAAGCAUGUCAAACUACAAAACCGGCCUAAGAAGAUAUAUAUAUAUAUAUAGAAAUAUCAAUAUACGCGCUCGGCAUCCAUCGAUAUACUUGGUUUUCUAACAUCCCAUUUUCAAGACCCAAUACUUGAUUGAAGUAUUUUGCCUCUAAAUAAUGCGACAACCAACUCAAUAAAAACACCAAUAAUUUGCAUGGACUUCUUCACAAAACAAAGGAAAUGUAAAAUGCAUAAAUGAUUUUCGAUAGCAUUCUCAACCAUCAAACGCUUCAUCAAUGCAUGAGAUGGCAAUGAGCAUAAUAAUCCAACUUUCCACAAGAAGUCAUCAGAGCAAGCAAAUAGUAUUUUGAUAAAGCAUUUUUGAAACUUCUCACAAACUCAAUCUUCACCAUCAUUAAAAACUGAAAUUUUAAUUUCUCCAAGUGCUAUUAGCAACAUUGUGCACUUCUAAUUUUCCAUUCUACAAAGAGGGAAAGGAAAAAAGCUCGAUAAUAGCUGGUAUGUUCACUAUUGAACUUAACCAAGUUUCCUCCACCCAUAGUUUUAAAAGAACAAUUUCGGUAUGACAAUACAUUUUGUUGUGCUCUUUGUUCUCAUAGUCAAAGAGUACUACUCAUAAAACUCCAAACCAAGAACCUAUCUUAUGUACUCUCUUCGGAUCUUUGUUCCCAGACUUGAUAGACACUAUUUCUCCUCAACUCUGAAACAUAAGGCCAUAUGGUAUUCAAAACAAAGCAAAUGAACGAGCAUUCAGUUAAGAGAUGCAUGAGAAAAAAUUUAAAACACAGCCAGCUGGCUUCUUCUAUUCACAAUCUUUGGCUUCAUGGAAAUCGGUAGCCAAUUGUUCUUCAUGAAAAGUUUCUUAGUAUAUUCUAUACUAACAUGAAUAGCUAUCCUGUAGUGUGAAUCGUGAAGUAGAUAUUCAGACAGAUUAGGCAGUCAUACUGAGGAAGUAGAGAAGAAGGCAGUGUAGAAUUUACCUCAACUUCCAAAACAUUUGAUGAAGAAUGUGAGUAGAGGAAAGGCUGGCAAAGACGCCUAAAUCGUGACUCCCCUUCACAGUGGACAAAAACCUCCAAAGCAAAUGAAGGAGGGGAUGUCGCGCUGCAUGAGAAAUUUUCCAACACAAGCAACAUUCAGAAUGAUUUUAAAAUGUCCCUUCAAAAUUAGCCAUGUAAAACAAAUCUAGAAAAAUUGUCCUCGUUGAGAUGAAGAUCACGCAUAGACUUUGCCAGUUGAAAUACCCAUAAAAUAUCAAAAAUGAAAGAAAGGUCUUCCAUAUCACAGUUUACCUGAAUGACUACGGAGAAGGUGAUAACUUCGUCGAAGAUGACAAUACUAACAUUUUAUGAGGUUAUGACUUUUACUGAUUUUAUGAGGAUUUAUUCAACAAAGGAUCCAUGUGCUUAUUCAACAAAAGAUCCAUGAGCUUCAUCCACCUAACAAGGGUAAACAGGGAUUGCCAGCGACACUGAAAUUUGAUAACCCCAUGGUGUUCCAAGAUGUCCCCAUUGUAGCAGUAGGGGGAGAUGACUCUUCCACAUAAAUGGUGAUGAGAUAAGCUCCACAACUCAUGAGCAAGCAGAGAAGUGGCAAGAUAAUUAAGUUGUGCUCUCACUAUCUUAGGUAGAUAAGCAACUUUCAAGCUGAAUUGUCUAGUCUCCAGCAAUCUAUCAUUUGAUUUUUAUAGGUCCUUGCUGUCACGCAAUCGAAAUGCAUUUACAUACCAUCAUCAUGUAAUGCUCCUAAUAUACAGGACUACAUGAAUGAUGGUGAUGACAAAGACAGCAAUGAUAAGCAGAUAAUAGAUUGGCCACUACAGGUUGUUUUUAUUUCUUCAUAUGCCGUGUACCUUUUAUUUUGUUUUAUUUCUUCUGAUGCUGUGUACCUUUUAUUUUGUUUUUUUCUUCAGAUGCUGUGUACCUUUUAUGCAUAAAUACUAUGAACAAAUAAAAAUAAAUAUAAUUCAAAGGAUCAAUGCCGAAAUAUAUUUUGUAUGUGUUCUUAAAUUCCUUAGACAAUGUUCUGGAUGCUCAUAAGCAUAUGCAUGCACAGACUUGCAUUCAAAAAAGCAUGAUUUCCAUCAAAUACCCUAGCAGACCAAUCGGAUAUUUCUUCACAAGUUUGAAAAUCUUCAUGCCAGCGAAUGCAAUAUUCGCAUGGUAUUUGAUACAGCAUCAACCAUUCUGUAGCACAAGCAUGACACUUGAAUACCUUUUUUCUUUUUUAUUUUCCGGAUAACCUUGUUCCAGCAUACCGCCAAAAAUCGCAGAAGUUUCACUCAAUGACUUUUCAGGUUAAAUAUAUAUCAAAUAGAGAUGACCUACCCAAUCUACACCAAAGAUCAGAAUUCAGAAAUAUGUUACCAUCACCAUCUUAAACUUUCAGACUGGCACAUCAUAGUUAUGGAUGCAAACAAAAUAGAAUGCAGCUACAUGUGGUUACUGUCUUGAUGAGAUGAUGCAAAUGGCAAAAGGCUAUAAUAUUUAUUCCCGUUAAUAAAAUGAAAACUUUUGACCACAUUACAUAGAACGUCUUCGCAUGCUCCCUUUCUUUCAUAUGAUUUUCCUAAGAAGAACCAUAUCUUUUGUCCAACUCCAGAUUAACAAAUAAAAGACAAGGUAAAAGUCAUCAAACUACUUUAAUCAGAAUAACUGUCAUCAUAUAUGUAUGCAUUUCUGAAAAAAAUGGAAGGGGAAAAAAGCUGUCAAUCAUACCCAAUAAGCGAUAAGUUUGGUGUAGACGGAGAAGCAUUCUGCUCAAGAAACUCACAAGCAGUUAUGACAACAGGUUCUGCAAACAGCACCUGCAUGGAUAUGCAAAACAUCAUUAAAAGUAUUGAACAAGAAAAAGUAAACUGUUAGAGUUAAUAUUCAGAAAAUAUUCACACUUUCUUCAUAACUUAUGUAUACAUCAUUUGUCCUGCUGAACAUUCAAGAAAAUUUAUGCCUUGCAUUUGCGCAUAGAAACUAUCAAGCAAAUCCUUAUAGAUACAGACAAAAGUGAAACAAAGAUAGAACAAAUGGUGCAUGAAUUAUGUAGUGAGAAUAACAAUUGAUUCCACAAAAGAUAAAAGAAAUGUUCGCAGUGCAUUUUGGUGUACCAGCAAGAUUACAAUGUUCAGCGAUCUUACACGGUUUCUGAAAAUGGAAAUUGUAAUUUUCUACGCUAAGGUGUUUAAUGUGUUGAAAUCAAGGAAAUCCCAAAAUCAAAGUAUUGGAAGUUUCUACUUGGAGUGAGAUUUUCCGAAUUCAUCAUUCUGACAUCGCACUCAGCAAUCGUUCUUCUGAUUUUAGUUUAAAUAUUUUGCACAGGGGGAUAUCAACAGGCUACGCCACACCAGAUUUCUGCAUCAGACUGGGUCUUUGGGUCAGUCCUCUCAAAAUUGUAUAUUUUCCUAACCAAAAAACAGACUGUUCGCAUCUAUUGUUUCUUUUUUUGUAAGAAAAAUGCAUCCAUUCUUUUAAACAACCAAACACUUUCCAAAAAAUCUCACUUUCAAAGAACCUCUCUACUUUUGAACAACCAAAUACCUUUUCCAAGAAAACUUCAAUCCAAGAGAACCAGGAGUUUGCAUGUAAAGAACAACCAAAUAUAGCUUCAAAAAACAACGAAAGAUGGCAUUGGAAAAGACAAUAAAUUCCAUAACUAAAAUAUUGACUAUUAUUCUGCAAACUUAAGAUUAAUAAGAGAGACUGUCUGACCUCAUCGACAUAUUCAUCAAGCUGAGAAUGAACAAAUGAUUGAGCAAAUAAGACACAUGGCUCGGGGCGGCCCAUCCUCUCUUCUUUAACUCUAGAUAGACAUAGCCUGAAAAGAAACAUAAGCAACAAAAUGAAACUAGAGUUUUGAAAAGGAAAGCCACAUCAACAACCAAAUCAAACCUUCCUAUCGAUAAGUAUAGCAUGAUAUGAAUACGAAAAGCUUGAUUGACUCAUCUUGCUCCACCCCCCUCCUUUCUCUCUCCUUUCUGGGAGGAAAGUAGCAAUAGUACUGCUAUCCAUCAAUAUUAAGAAAGUUCAACAUCCAUACGUUACAUUAGCCAUUCCUUUAAAGAAAGGAUCAUCCCACACCCACGAGCUUUCUGGGAUCCCAAGUUCCCUAGCUCACUCAGAAUAAGAUGAAAAGGACGGCAAAACUAGUCCAAUGUCGGUGGCACCUCCAUACAUGCAUAUAAACCUUACCCAACCAGGCUUGGCUGCACGCUCUCCACCAACUAAUCAAGUUUUCUAGAAUCUCGAGUUUCCUGGCUCAUCCAAAAUGGGAUAGAAAGGGCGUCAACAAGCUUUCUGGCACGCUUGGUGGGACCUGCGUAGUCAUUGUGACACUACUUAUAGUGGAACAACUGCAUAGUUGUCACCCUGCCACUAUCAAAGGAAGCUACGAAAACAGCUGCAAAGACGCGGCCACUAUAAUAAGGCCACUUUUGGAGUGGUAAACCACAUCUUUAGCUUUAGUAGAGGGACGGUUUGAAAGACUUGUUUCCAUAGUUGAAGGUCGAUAUGCAAAGCCAUAGUACAUUUCAGCAAGUUUUACGGUAAAGACAGCUAAGGCUAUUCUUGUGAUGGAUGAAUCAGCUUAUCAGCGGCGUGUUAAAGUACUACAAUGUAGGAAGAAUCAGAGAUGGAGACUUUAGCUCAUCAGAAGAUAACAGCCGCAGAUGAUAGCAUUAGGACCCCAAAAUCUACUGACCAAGGUAUCACAGAAGUCACAACAGCAAAGUUGCAGUAGACCAAACUAUCGAGGGAUAUUUCAAUCAAUACCUAGCCAAAACCCAAGAUUGUCCGUCAUAGUAAGCUACAAAGGAUCGCUAGUGAAGUAAACAAAUCAUUGGCGACAUUAGUUUCUGAUCGUUUGCCCAAGAGUGAAGAGCAAAAAUAUAAUAGCUUUGUACGUAUCACGAGGGUUGGGGGUCAACCGUAUCGAAGGAAGCUUCCAAACGUUAUUAAUGUGAUGAAUAUUCCCUAUGCUGGGGGGGCAACAUAACAACGCAAGAGCCUAUUUGGCCUGGUGGCAUCAUGAAUGAUCUAAGAUCCUCAUAUGGAAUAUGGAAAGUAUGGAUCUUAUUGUUCUACAAAAAUCUGCUAAAGGAUCGAAAAAAUGCUAAAUUUAAUCUAAAAGCGGAGAUAAAUUAAAACUAUAUAUCCCUAAACCCUAAACCUCCUAAAACCUAAAAACUCUAAACCUUAAACCCUAAAAACCCUAGCACCCUAAACCCUAAACCCUAAACUCUAAACCCUAAACCCUAAACCCUAAACCCUAACCCUAAAAUCGAAACCCUAGACCCUAAACCCUAAAACCAUAAACCCUAAAGCCUAAACUCUAAAACCCUGAACCGAAACCAAAAAUCUUAAACCCUAAACAAUAAAACCUUAAAACCCUAAAAUCGUAAACCCUAAAUCCAAAACCCUAAACCCUAAACUCCUAAAUCCUAAAGCCAAAAUCCAAAAUCCUAAAAUCCUAGACCCUAAACCCUAAUGCCGACUUCACUUAAUUUUUGAAGUUAAAAAAAAGCCCCCCAGGGUUGUGGUAGCAGGAGGCUGUCAGUUAUUCGAUUGCACAGUUUUCGAUCCGGACUUGAGGGCGGCCUGGGCAGGUCUUCGACAUGCUCAGCGUGUGCAAUCAGCUAGCUCAGUCAUCUUGGAGGGUGACUCAGCCACGGUCAUCAAUUGAAUCCAGAGGGGUCCGAGGGUCGCUGUCGGUGACCAUCCAAUGCUUCGUGACAUCUGGAUGAUGAUGAGGGAUGGAAGAGUUGUCCAGACUAAGCAUGUAUUUAGAGAAGCCAAUGAAGUUGCGGACUGGGUGGUCCAAUGUGUGGCCAACCACACCGGCAGUACCAUGUCGAUAGGGGAUGGAGAGCUGCCUCGGGAGCUCCAUGAUAUUUUAUUUUCUGACUUUCUUGAGUAUAUCCAUGCAUGUGUUGUAUGAAUUACCCGUCGCAAUAGAAAAAAAAGGCCCCUCAAGAUCCCUACUUCAAGCGAAACAGAAGAAUCAGAGACGGAGCCUCUCCUUUGCCCCUCUAUGCGGCUCCACGGCCCUCCAUUGGUCUUCAUCGACCGUUUGCCACCCUCCCUCCCUCUCUCCCUCCCCCCACUCUCUCUCUUUCCCUCUCUUUCCUUCUCCCUCACCCCCUAUAGCAACCCCUCCACUGCUAGUUUCUCAUUCUACUCCUUGGAACCAUCCCAUCCGCCGCUUGUACAGCACUAUACACUACGAAUCGGGCAACUCGAGGCAGUUCCGCCAUCCUUGGUUCAAUCCUUUGUAUAGGUGUACAUAUAUAUAUAUAAGAAAUUCUUCCCCGCAUUUAAAAUUUUAAGCAUAUAUCCAAAUCCAGAUCCAAAUCCGAUCGAAUUCGGAAAGAAUAUAGAAAUGGAUUUGAUUGGAUAAUAUCCUGCUCAUUCUCAGAAAGAAUACUUGAUUUUGAGCAACAAAAUAGUAUCAUCGCUAUAGCCAUCUUUCUAGGACAAAGAAAAUUUUAUUACUAAAAUAUUUUUGAUGAAAGUGCUUCCGUCACAGAAAAAAUUACUUCCGUAGCAAAAAAAAAUAGCGCAUAUGACCCUUGGAGCUGAUAUUUCUUGAUAAAAUAGAUGUUUUGGCAGUGUCACCUACAUACUUUUAGUGGCAAACUAUUUUGUCGUGAAAUAUAUAUAUAUGUUAGCGACAAAAUUCAUUUCAUUAUAAAAUAUUGAAUAUUUUGUGAUAAACUACUCUAUUUCAUCGUAGAAGACAUUUAGCGAUGGGGCAUCAAUUACGAAACCUAGCGACGAAAUUUUUUUCAUCGCCAAAUACCAUAGGCGACGAAAUUAUUUUUUGGCGACGAAAUUAUUUUUUAGCAACAAAAUUAUUUUAUUGCUAAAUGUAUAAAUUCUUGUAGUGACACCAGUGCCCUCGAUGCGCUCUCCAAGCAUCCUUAACUAGUCAUCUCUCAACCUCCUAUCAAACUCUAUGUUGUUCCUCAAAGAGUUGAGCACCAUCAAACUCCCGAGAAGCUUCUUGUUCAAGAAGAUCUACGGCAUGGCAGCACUCCCCGACCAUUCAAUCAACUCCUGCUCUAGGAAGCCAUCAACAUUGAUCCUGACGCACGAUAAGCCUAAUGCGGUGAGGAGUCCGUCGUCUCUCCAUUAGUCCCUUCUCCAAUGGGAAUAUUUAAGUUUCAUGCAUCCUAAAUCUAAAUGCAAUGGAAACAUAAGUUUCCACUGUGUAGAAGACCUAAACUGCAUCCUUAGUUAAAACACUUGUUUAUAAUACAAACUCAAUUUUGUUAUAAUCGGUAUGAUUUUGCAUCAGCUUUAUUCUAAAGAACCAGAAGAAAUACUUCAGCAUUUUCCUUAUAUUCAAGGUUUCAUUCUAAAGGCUAGUUGAUCAUGUAACCUAGCAUCUUUCAUGUCUUUUGUACCAGCAAACCUUAAAAUGUCAGCCUUUUCAUUGUUUCAAAGGUAUCCCUUCUCUAAUCAUUAGAAAUUGGCAAAUAUGUCCAAGCAGCAAACAGAAUGACAACCUAUACACUAGAAGAUAAUCAUGGAGCACCUACAUGUUCAAGAACGAUAGGCUAGUUACUCAAGUAAACCAGCACCUCCCGUGACUAUUGUACCAUUUGUCCCUAAAAGUUUUCCUUCAAAGCUAUCCCUCCUGCCAUAAUCUGAAUUUGGUAAUUUGUUCAAUCAAUGAACAGAAUGUUAAUCUAUACAUAAGCAAAUAAUCAUGGGGCACCUAAUCAAAAUUUGUAGUAUUGUAUUAAAAAGACAAUCUAGCUGUCCAGCUAUAUCAAUGAAAUAAUAAGUUAUGCUGAAGAUGAAGGGGCACUCAAAUCAAAUGGUUGAGUUGCCAACAUAUUCGCCAAGCCAUUCCAAUACCUAAGGAGGCAUCAGCACUUCCUUUCUUGCUAUGCAAGUUACCAUGAACAAUUACUCCAUCCACAAUUCAAAUAGCAACAUCAUCAUUUGCUUAUCAUAGGCUAAUGGGACCAAAUAACACCGAGAUUAGAACAGUUGUAAUGAGGUUUUUGCCUUCUCGUUUUCAGCUUGCUCACUCUAAAAUAAUGCCAAAACAAGUUUCUUUCUAAGAAGCCUCACAGAUAAUUGUUACUCGCCUUUCUCUAAGAUACACUCAAAUAUUGAAGAAAAACUAAUGCCUUGCGUUUUGAAACACUUCUUCGAGAUUUAAAAGAGCACAUGCUCAAAGUGUCUAUAGAUCAUAUUUUAAUAGAUAAGGGGCAAAUGACCUAGACAGGGCUAAAGAAAUUCUAGCAAAGAGAGAAAGAAAGAACUGGCACAGUAGCCGCAAGCUCUAGCUUUUUGCCAUCCAACUUCCGUUUUGAAGCAUAAGUAGAAAAAUAAGCAUCAAGUUUAACGCAAAAAUAUAAAACAGGGCUCCAGAUUUAGGAGGGAGAGAGCAAGAGCCCGUACCUGAAUGGCACUACUGCCAUAGUUUGGCAUCCGUCGAGCAGCACGGCCAUCGGACAGCCUUGUUCGAUCCAUGUCCUCCUUUUCGUCAAUCUUCUGCCUUUCAAGGAGUAAUGGUGAUCGAAAACCCUAAAAAUGGGAGAGAAAAUGAUGCGGUGAGAGACUAAUGGCAGAAGAGUAUCGAAGAGGGAUGUCGGGAAAGAGGUAUUAGGUUAAGGUUUUGAAGGAGGAAGAGGAGCAAGAAGAGGNNNNNNNNNNNNNNNNNNNNNNNNNNNNNNNNNNNNNNNNNNNNNNNNNNNNNNNNNNNNNNNNNNNNNNNNNNNNNNNNNNNNNNNNNNNNNNNNNNNNNNNNNNNNNNNNNNNNNNNNNNNNNNNNNNNNNNNNNNNNNNNNNNNNNNNNNNNNNNNNNNNNNNNNNNNNNNNNNNNNNNNNNNNNNNNNNNNNNNNNNNNNNNNNNNNNNNNNNNNNNNNNNNNNNNNNNNNNNNNNNNNNNNNNNNNNNNNNNNNNNNNNNNNNNNNNNNNNNNNNNNNNNNNNNNNNNNNNNNNNNNNNNNNNNNNNNNNNNNNNNNNNNNNNNNNNNNNNNNNNNNNNNNNNNNNNNNNNNNNNNNNNNNNNNNNNNNNNNNNNNNNNNNNNNNNNNNNNNNNNNNNNNNNNNNNNNNNNNNNNNNNNNNNNNNNNNNNNNNNNNNNNNNNNNNNNNNNNNNNNNNNNNNNNNNNNNNNNNNNNNNNNNNNNNNNNNNNNNNNNNNNNNNNNNNNNNNNNNNNNNNNNNNNNNNNNNNNNNNNNNNNNNNNNNNNNNNNNNNNNNNNNNNNNNNNNNNNNNNNNNNNNNNNNNNNNNNNNNNNNNNNNNNNNNNNNNNNNNNNNNNNNNNNNNNNNNNNNNNNNNNNNNNNNNNNNNNNNNNNNNNNNNNNNNNNNNNNNNNNNNNNNNNNNNNNNNNNNNNNNNNNNNNNNNNNNNNNNNNNNNNNNNNNNNNNNNNNNNNNNNNNNNNNNNNNNNNNNNNNNNNNNNNNNNNNNNNNNNNNNNNNNNNNNNNNNNNNNNNNNNNNNNNNNNNNNNNNNNNNNNNNNNNNNNNNNNNNNNNNNNNNNNNNNNNNNNNNNNNNNNNNNNNNNNNNNNNNNNNNNNNNNNNNNNNNNNNNNNNNNNNNNNNNNNNNNNNNNNNNNNNNNNNNNNNNNNNNNNNNNNNNNNNNNNNNNNNNNNNNNNNNNNNNNNNNNNNNNNNNNNNNNNNNNNNNNNUGAGCUAUGGCUAAUAUCGUAUGAAAGCCUGUGGGCUUGCUCACGGGACUCGGAAGAAGAAAAUAAAAGAAGCCCCUUCACAUUUGCGAUGUUAGAAGUCUCAUUGUCCCUACAUUUCUUGCAAGAGAGAUUUCUUAGAUCUCUCUCUAAAUCGAAUCGUCAUGAGUGGCCUUAGAAUAGCAAACCACAGGUUCUUGGUAGAGGAGCAAAGAGAUGGAGCAGAGAGAUGAUGGAGCAAAGAGAUGACGGUAGAGGAGCAAAGAGGAGAACCAGAUUCCCGUCGCGAUGAGGAGAAGUGAGGAAAAAAGAGAGAACUCACCGAGUCGCCAAGGAGGAGGACGAUGAGAAAGAAGAGAAGCACCGCACCGCCCAUCGAGCUCCCCGCAAACGAGCCCUUCCGGCUCUUCUUCAAUUGUCGGAAAAUCGUCGCCCCCACCGGAGAGGGAGGGGAGAGCGAAAGCUAGGGCAGACCACAGACGGAGGAGGAGGUGGGGACUGGGGAAGAAGGAGCUAGGGCAGCGCCGCAGCAAGUCGGGGUCGGGAGAGGACUGAGGAGGAUGGACCGAAUGGUAGGAGAGGAGGGCGUUGGGCCAACCGUCGGAUGCAGGGUUUGGAACUGAUCUCAACCGUCGGAUCCCAAACUCAAUUAGUCAGGUCAAGUCGCGAGCUUUGUUUAGGCUCAUGAGCUGUUCGGGCUCGAGCCCAAGAUCGAACUCGAGUUUAAACGAGCCUCAUUUUGAGCUUGGGCUCGGGCUCGUUUGACUAACGAGCCCAGCCCGAGCUGAGUUUUUAUCCGGCUCAGCUUAUUAACAGGCCUAACCUUAAACCCUAAACCUUAAAAUCCUAAACUUCGAAACCCUAAAACCUAAAUCCUAAAACCAAAAAUCCUAAACCCAAAAACCCAAAAAUUCUAAAACACCAAACCCCGAACCCAAAACCCCAAACCCUAAAACCCUAAAUCCCUAAAACCAAACACCAAACCCCAAAACCCCUAAACCCCAAAUCCCUAAACCCCUAACCCCGAAAACCCUAAACCCCCCAACCUAAAACCCUAAAACCCCAAAAGAGUUUGCUUUUGACCUUCUAUUAGUGUUUCAUGUAUUGGGUACGAAAGUUGUCCAUGCAAUGGGUGGCCAUAUGUCUACACAAAACUAGAUAUAGAGAAGCAAAGGUCACAGAAAAUGAUAAAUUGACAGCAUUUUACAGCAUCCAAGAUGAAUAUAAAUUAUAUCAUACUAACACACCAUUGGCAUCCUCUGAAAGAUAUGAUUGGACUCUUGAUAACAAGGAUUAUUGUAUUGAACCACCUGAUUUAGUCAGAUACCAUGCCAAUACUGAUCACUAACCAAAAUGGUUCGAAGUCUUGGCAUGCAAUAGGGCCCGAACAUGCGCAAAGUAGCCUUAAUCGGACUGAACCAUCCGGAGACACUCCAUUCCGAGUGGUUCAGCCUAGUAAGGGCCCGUAUGGCUUAAUUAUUUUUAGAGAGGCUUUCGAGAGGCUACAUUAGCCAAAAUUAAAAUUCAAGAACUUAAUUUGAAUUAUUCUUUUAUAAAAAUUUCAAAAAUAAUUAUUAAUUCAAGAACUCGUGAAAUUUCAGUAUCAUGUACCGAUGUUUUGUAAAUAUUUUUUUGAAGCAUAUACAUAUUUUUCCGAUGGUUAUGCAAUUUAUACAUAUUCUUCAAUAAAUUUAAUAUAAAAAGCAUUUAUGCAUUGAAAAUUUGUGAAAAUUUAGAAUUAUAUAAAUAUAGUUCGAAAGUAAUUUUUAAGACAAGUAACACCUUUUUAGACAUCUUCAAACAUUUUCUAAAUUCUUUGAGUAAUUUUAAAUUAAAAAUUAUGGUCAAUUUGCAGAUGCAAAGUGAUAAUCAGUGCAACCUUGUUCUAUAUUUGAUGAUGAAUGGUUUUAAAAAUUUCAGGAUUAGAUAAUCAACUAUGAAGCCGAAAAGCAAGAAUACUAAGCUAAGGAUAACGAGUGGCGGCAUGACCAAAUAGUUAUCGUCACCAUUGGAGGAGCAAGUGAUGUUCCUCCAAGUUGAGGAGCUGGGUCACCUAAUUGAUGAAAAAGCAACCAACAAGCAAGUAUUCCAAUAUUAUAGCCUGUAAGAAAUGUCCUCGAGAGUUCCAUCAGCCUUUUCAACAAACUUUUGGAGACUUCAACCGGAAAAGGAGAUCAUGGGAGAAACACGCCAAGUUGGAUAGGAGGAUAGCAAAGUCACCAUCUUAUUACUCUAGAGAUCCAACAAAUUAUGAGGUCUCUAAUUGGAUGACAUGGUGAAGGCCAAAAUUCAAGCAGCCAUCUAGGCUAGUAAGGAGGAAAAGUGGCAGAUAAAUAAGAUGGCCAAGUGUAGAGUUUAGUUUGGACUCUCAUAAUACAAAGGUAGUUUUCGAUUUGAGUCUAUACUUUAUCAAGGUUUAAGGAGAACCCAAUCCGUCGGAGCUUCAAGUGUCAACUAGAUAGCAUCCAUGUUCAGAGCUUCAAAUUUUCUCUUUAAGCAUAAUUUUGUGGACUUCAGUUUGGAGAUCCUUCUCUUAUAAAUCAGGAUUCCUGUUUUCCAGAUUCUGACUUAUGGAUUAUAGGUUCCUGAUAUUGUUCGUUGAAUAUAUUCUCCAACAGCAUCUAAGUUGGCCAGUAAUAAAUAACAAUUUUUGCAACAUCUUAUUGUUCAACAAUUAUAUAUCCGUUGAAAGUAUUAUACAAUAAGAUUAAGCCAAAUUUAACCUUUCCAUGUCAUGCUUAUUGUAAUAUAAAUGAAGCUUUAAUUUCUUACUAUUAUGUACAUAUUAUUAUUAUUUUAAAUCAAGUACGUAUUGUUAUCAUUAUAUAAAUAGUGCCCCAACUGCUUUGCACAACCAUGUUACAAGCAAAUACAGAACUAACAUGAUUGCAAAGGUAGACUUGACCGAUUAAGAAAGAAAUCACCGUUCUUCGUAAAAGACAGGACCCUGCCUGGACUAUACAGACUCAGAGCUCAUGUUCGAAUCAAGAUGGCACCCAUGAGUGAUAGGUCCCAUGCCGUACAUAUAGCCCCAUGCUUGAUAAAGCCCAUCCAAUCGUCAUAGCCAUAGUGCCAAUCCAAUCGGAUUAACUCUAAGAUAUCGUCACAACAUUAUUUUUUUAAUCCUCAGACUGUUCAAACAAAAUAACAACAAAACUAUAAUCAUUAUCAGGGAUAACAGCAUUUGUUCCAAACAAAAUGAGAUCAUUCCAAUUAAACCUACACAAAUUUAACCCUCACUAGGAUAACACCUACUUGUACCGAAAAUCCCAACUCCAUAUACAAAACUGGGCCAACUUAGCUGACAAUUGUUUUGAAAUGAAUUCUCAAACUCUGAAAGAAAACCACCCGACCAUGAUACAAACACAAAAUGUAUCUUAAAACUUGAAAUUCCAACCAAGAGUAGGAAAAAAACAUUUUGAUUAAUACAUUAUUCAGAUAUUAAACAGACACUAAUGCACAAAUGAAACACAAGGUGAAAUGAGAAGCAACUGCUUGGAAGGCUUCAAUAUGCCGUGAUGCCUUCUCUAUAUAGCAGAUUGGCCCCCACCAACGGAGCCAGCAAAAUUGGCCUCUGAUGGUGGCCACGAAAAGUUGUCAACAUCAAAAUUUCUUACAUCCAAGUACGAAGAUUUGAUAAUUCCUACACCUCUUCCUCCGGCAACUAUUGCUGGCCCAAACGCUCCUGAACAGCAACAGAAAAUGAUGGGAAACAUGAGUGGCAGGGGAACAUCAAAAUUAAUCCUUGAAUGGACGUUGACAUAAAGAACAUAUCAUUUCAUGCAAGCAUAUGAAUAGGCAGAUGCAUGCUCAACUUUCAAAAUGACACAUUAUAGUCGCUAUAAAUCUCUUAGGAAGAAAUGAUCUAAACCAUCACGGUAGACAAAUUUGUCUACUAUUAUGACACAAGCUCCCUCAGGCCAUUUGUCAUUUAACAGAUCAUGACUCUCUUCCCCUGUCUUUGAUCAUCUUCCAAGCCACCUACUAGUCCAUCCCAAUAUAAUUUCUUUUAGCAAAUACACCUCUGAGAUACAAGCUUAGUAACAAGGUUAGCCUAGCCAAAAUUUCUUCCAGUAGUAGAGAUAGUAUGCAUCGAAUACGCCACCUCAGACGAACUAUAUUGAUGUGGGUCAUAGCCUAACCAUGUAAAAUAGGAUUCAGUGUAUGACUUGAAUCCAAAUACGUCUAGGAUACCACGAGCUCUACCAUAAGAGGGCCAUUUCUUGUAUGUAAUGAUAUCCUCGCAGGCUCUACCAGGUCGUGCACCAUGAUCCCUAUCCUAUGUGGCAUGACAGAAUUGAGACUCAUUGGUGAAUCGAAGAUCCUAAGCUGAGUUAUAUAUUGUUUUGCCAUGUCCACUGCUAUCUCUCUGGCCACCAAAUACAUCGUGGCUCGAAAUAUCACCAUCCCUUGUAUCAUGAAACGAUCCAGCUAGCCGGCCAUCCAAGAGCUCACUGAUCUCCGAAUAAGUGAACAAGCUCCUCAACUCUCUCCAACAUAACUGCACCUCAACUCUCUCUCUUUAAUUUUUUGCUGAUUUUCGGCAUGAAAAAAACAAAAAGAACAGGGAAGGGGAGAAGACCCUUUACCUGUUUUUGGCUUGGAUGUAAGUUGAAAUCCGCAAAAUCUUCACCCUUUAACUGUUAAAGAGUUUGGGGCAGUACGGCCUUCCUAGCUUCUAAUUAUACCAACCUGUUAAAUCCAAUAUAUCCCAUUUCACCAACACCAGCUCACUCUUUAACACAUUAAGCCCUACUUAUCCUUAAAACUCUUGGGACCAGUCUGUAGUAGUCUUACUAAUUAGCUUCUCUGUGGAAAAUUCCGUUAGGAACUAAAUUCUUUUAAUUCUCCGCAUGAAUGUAAACAUGCAUUUUUUCCGAAACACCAAGUGGAUCUUUUCGUCAUCUAUUGCAUCAAACUAUCAUAAUUUAUUGAAUCAAACCUGAAGCAUCUGCAUUAAUUUUGGAUGCUGUUCCAAAAGUUGACAUAGCUUAUCUCGAUCACAUAAGAGAGUCUGUCAAAAACAAACCCAAGAGAAAUAGAAGAAAAAAAGAUGUCAGUCAACAUAAAAUGAAUUGCAGAAUAUAUUUCAUACAUUAAAGUCAGCAAACUAUAUACAAGACAAACCUGAAUGGCUUCAGGUGAAGAAAAGUACUGCUGCAAAGUCAUUACUGACUCUUCUUGCUGCUGAGGUGCACUAUCUACUUGAAGAUUUGGAUUUUGCAGUUGAGCUUGCUCAAGCAUCGGCUGCAGAGGUUGCAAAAGAGACUCCUGCUGUUGGGUUUCAUAAUAAAAUUGUAACUGGGGAAUAUGGAGCUGCUGUGGAAUCUGCAAGGGAUUAACCUGUAUUUGGAUAGAGCUUUGUUGAAUUGGCAU
This 52077-nucleotide long non-coding RNA is filed under the name Phoenix dactylifera (date palm). RNAcentral's name for it is "long non-coding RNA (PDAC_LNC000166)". Lineage: Eukaryota; Viridiplantae; Streptophyta; Magnoliopsida; Arecales; Arecaceae. The record is from RNAcentral.